Molecule: long non-coding RNA, 82680 nt
Filed under: Ananas comosus (pineapple)
Lineage: Eukaryota; Viridiplantae; Streptophyta; Magnoliopsida; Poales; Bromeliaceae
Description: long non-coding RNA (ACOM_LNC033552)
Source: RNAcentral
AAUACUUGCUUCUUUUAUUUUUCUUUUCUGACUUUCAAAAAUUAUAUUUUGUCUUUUUAAAAUCUCAUAAAUAUUUUUAGGAUGUUACAGUAUUAAUAGACUGGACGAAAUGAUAAAAUUAUCUUUAUUUGUUUUAUAAGAAAAAUUAUUUAAUAUAUUUUUACUAUUUUCAAGAGUAGUUUCGAUAUAAAUUAUAAGAAGUGAAAGGAAUAAUGACAGGACCUGACGGAGGAGGGCUAAAUACUUCCACUUAAAAUUUUGAGGGGGCGAAAUAUAGACUUUUGAAAGUCGUGAAAGAAAAGUAAAAAAACGAAGAUUUUCAGAAAAGUUUUAUAUAUUUUAGUCAUAAAAUAAUAAAAAAGAGUAUGGUUGACCGUACUUUAGAUUAUAUUCUAAUUCUAAUGGUUUUUCAACAAAUUUUUUUUUAAAAAAAGAGCUAGUUAAUUUGGUGCUACCAAUAACCAGUAUAAUAUAUUAAGGCUGCGUUUGGUUCGGAUAUAAGGGACUGUUUGGUUGGAUGUACUUGCAGAAACAGUGUAGUUGGAAAUACAUGCAGUUGCAAAUGCUGCAGUUGUAAUUACACCUAGUCUGUUUGGUUUUACGCAGUUGCAACUGCUGCAGUUACAUUUCUUCUGUUUGGUAAUAUGAAGCUGAUAGUUGUAUUUGUGAAUUUUGUCACAUUUUCAGAUAGAGUGGUGAGAUUACCUUCACUAAACAUAAAAUAAUUGUAUAAGUUUAUUAAUCAUUUAAAUUUACUAUUUAUAAAUAAAUAAGUAGAUGUAUAUAAUAUUCUUCAACUUAUUAAUCGACACAUUUAAAAUUUUUAAUUUAUUUAAUUUUAAUAUGUAAAUCAAACUUUAAAAUUUAAAUGAUUCUCUCAUUUUUUUAUCAAAUUUAAUAAUUAUAAUUAAUUAAAACUUAUUAAAUUAACAUACACGAUCACAUUCUAUAAAAUUUUUUUAAGAAAACAAUAUUUAUAUUUUAAAUAAAAUAAAUUUAAAAAUUUUAAUUUUUUGCACAAAGCUUGUAUUGUCUAAAAAAUUUUAUUAGUAUGAGUUUAUUUAUAAGUAUUUCUAUUUACCUAUAUACAUAUAUUAUUUAUUUAUUUAGCUAUUUAUUUAUUUAUUUAUUAUUGUUAAUUUGUGGGUGAUCCUAUCCCUCACCAACUGCUGUAGUUGGAACUACGGCUAAUUUGGAUGUAGUUCCAACUGCAGCAUUUGGACCUUCUUGUGUAGUUGGAAUUGCAGCAGUUGAACUCAACUACACUGAACCAAACAAAGGAAUUGAGGUUGCACGCAUUUGCAACAGCAAUGCAGUUGCAAAUGCAUGCAACCAAACAGCCCCUAAGUAAGAACUGUUUAUUCCAGGAAUAAAUAUAAGUUCAGGUAUAAGCAGGAAUUAGACUAAUUUUAUGUUUGAAUGAAAAUUGAGUUGUUCCUAAGAAUAAGAUAAGGGUGCGUUUGGUUCGAGUUAUCCUGGCAGGAUUACAGGCAAUCCUGUCAGGAUAACUGUGUUUGGUUAAUCCGCUAUGUAAUCUAGUAGUUAAUGUAGCAUUACAAAUCGAGCAGGAUUAUAUCGAAAAUAUUAACGGAAGGGGGGUCGUGUAUCUUGCAUUACUGGAACCCGUUAAUACUACAUAUUAUGUAAAAUGACAAUUUUACCCUCCAACAACUCCAAAUCUAAUUAACAGCAUUAUUUUCAUCUCUCUCGCCUUCCCCCGGCCCUCUCUCUCGCACGCCGCUUUCUCUCGCUCUCUCUCUCUUGACGUCUCUCUCCCUCUCCCUCUCUCUCUCUCUUUCUCUCUCUCUCGCGCACGAACACCUAUCAUCUUAUAUUGCGUUGUCCUCCUAAGUAAUCAUCACGAUCUCCUUCCCUUCAUUCGUCAUUUUCGCAAAAAAUAAUAUUCAAAUGACCACAAUAAGGGCAAUUUUGAAAAAAAACUAUACUUUUAUGUCAGGAUUACUAAAUUUUAUAAACUGAACCAAACAUAUUAAUGCUAUAAACACUGUAAUCUAGUAUUACAUUACUGUAUUAAACCAAACGCUCUAAUGCAGCAUCAGUAGUAAUCUCACGCCAAAAUCCAAGAUACCUGGAUACGUCGAGAUACUUUGUAAUAUUACAUAACUCGAACCAAACGGGCCCUAAUAGUAUUUGGAUGGUUAGAUUGGAACAAGAGGAAUAAGAAUUAUACUUUUAAAUUAAAAUUAUUUAUCUAAUUAAUUAACAUCAAAAUAUUACUUAAAAAUAAUUUAAUAAAUUAAUAAACUUAUUAAUUAUUAAUAUUGUAUAAGAUAAUAAAAUUAUAUUAAUUAAUUAAUUAUAAAAAAUAAUUUAACUUUUUAAUUAGUUAGUAAAUCAUUUUAGCUAGAUAACUAGUAAAAAAAAUUAAUUAGAUUAAUAGAAAUAUUAAUGGUUGAUCAAUAUAAAUAUUAGUUUAUGGAUAAAUAUAUUAAAUUAUUAUUAUUAAUAAUUAAUUAUAAAUAAUAAAUUAAUUAAUUAUUUUAUUAUUUAAGCAAUAAAUAAUACUUUAAAUAUAUUAAUUAGAUUAAUUAAUUAUUUAAUAUUAUAAUUAAAAUUAAAUUUAGAUUUUAAUUAAUUUUGUUCCCACUUGAAAACAAAUUUGGGAACAAAUGGGGGAAUAUGGGCUUUUUUUCUCUCUUAUUUUCAAACCAAACACUACUGCGCGAUGUAAUGUUUUUCCAAAAAGAAGAAACAAUUACAACCCAUUUGGAUUGUAGGGCUAGCAUUGCUCUUACAAAAUUGGAUGGCAAAAUGUAUGAAGAUCCCCUAAACCUUGCCAUUUUCAAAAACAUGCUCCUAAAUUUGUAGUUUCAACAAUUAUACCUUUUAGAUUCUAUCAAAUGAUUCGCUCGAUCUCUCCUCAGCCGAAGUUUCCAAUUAUUUUGUCACAAUGUACUACGUAUAACCUUGUAAGCAUUUAAAACAUAAAGGAAUCUUAUCUUUUGUAUUCUAGUACAUAAAAAAAUAAUAAAAAUUGAAAAGAAUCCAUUCUAUUCUAUAAUUUUGAUGCUUGAUUAUUAUAAUUAGAAAAAAAUAAUAUUUUUUGUGUUUUGAAGUUACAUAAAAUUAUGUGUAUGAAAUGCAAUCAAAAUGUGGUUUUAAUUAGUAACUUUACUUGUAGAGAGGGAUCUAUUAAACUACUUGAUUACGUCCAGAAAAUCUAGUUAUCGAAGUUAAAAGUUCAGGUGCCUAUUGGAAUAAGUGCGGAAGUUUAAGGAUCUUCCCUAAAUUGAGUAAUAUGCAAGGAUAUUUCCGUACCGGUUCAUUUACUUCAGUUUCUUUGAAGUUUUUCGUGUAUUGCAUUAAUCUGUGACUUAAAAAAUUUAUAGUUUUUUAGACCUGUGGACAGAUAGAUGGUGUGGUGAUGUCACUCUAUAGACGUUAUUUCCCAUUGUUUAUGAAGGAGUAGUGCGAAAAUUUAUAAGAAUCAGCGAAUGCUUGUCGAGUAGAGGAUGGAGGUGGAGAAAGAUUCUGAGAGGAAUUACAACAAGAAGGAGGGAAACGGACCCUACUAUUUUAGCCUUGAAAGAUCAUAUCUCUGGUUUUAGGGGUGGAUCAAAGAUCGGAUAGAGUACUUGGGAGGUGGAAAGCUGAUGGUAAAUUCACUGUGAAAUCAAUAUAUGGGGUGCUCAGUGACGGAGGGACAAGGGAUGCCCGCGCCAGUAAGUUAUGGGGUCUUCAGAUACCUCUGAAAGUUCAAGUUUUUACUUGGCUCGUUCUCAAGAUAAGACCACUUACAGCAGAUAAUCUCAUUAAGAGGGGAUGGACAGGGAACACAACCUGUGUGCUCUGCGGAAUUGAGGGAGAAAUGGUGAAUCACCUAUUUUCGCGAUGUGUAUUCAGCAGAUUCAUGAUUGCCAUGGCUGUGGAAGGGGUUCAGGUUGGGGACCUGGGCGAUGAUGUGAGGUACGUAUGGGAUAAGUGGAUGGCAAGGGAUAGCGCUCAGUCUGCUGGAAACAUAAUGACUGAACUGACAGCCAGUUGGUGGGUCAUCUGUAAGGUAAGGAAUGCCGUUAUUUUUAGGUUGGCUAAUGCUGACCCCUUGCUAACUGUCAACUCGAUCAUACGUUUGAUGCUUCAGUGGGAGGAGAAUAGUGUGUUUAAACGAGCGCAUCCUGGCCCCGGAAUUUAAAGAAAAUUAAAUGUUGGUUUUUUUUUCUCUUUUAAUUUUAAUUUUAUUUUAUUCUACUUUUAUUUUUAAUAGUAUUUGGAUCAUUUUACUACUAAGUUUAUAGUUCUUGGAUGAAAAAUUAUAGAAUUGUGAUGUUACUAGUCCCCUAAAAUUUAAUGAUCGCCUUUCUAAAGUUUAGUGAGUGAUUGGUAGAAUAGUAUAUGAUCUACGAAAUAAAAUUAAUUGAAGAAUAUAUUUAAUGAUGAAAAUUUUAAUAGCACCAAAUACUUGAUAUUAUUAAAAAUAUCUCAGCCGGACUCUUCCGUAAUGAUAACAAAUAACAAUAAUGAUAACGUGUCCAAGCACUUGCGGGGGCAUUAAUGGAAAAUAACACUGCGGUCUGUGCCUCUAUUAAAUGCACCUAACUUUGAACUCAAAAUCAAACGCUGAAUUAAGAGAAAUUAUACUAUAUAGCAGUGACACCGUAUCAUCUAUAACCAAUCAAUCACAUUUUCUUAUUUGAAAAAAAAUAUAGUAAAAAUAUUCUUCUAAUAAUUAUAAUGGACAGAUAAAUCAAAAAAAAUAUUUUGAUUCAUGGGUGACACAUUCCAGAAUUUUUCCUAAAUUAAACACUGUGUGGGCCCCGCAAAACUAUAACCAUGUACAUUUUUUUGCGCCCCUGGUGCUAGGUCCCCGUUACGCGGUUUCUAAACCCCACGGCAACCAACGAGGAUCCACCACGUGUCGAGAUCUCACAGGGAAUUUGAUAGGGUUUUUUUUGCAUUUAGCCCCCCGAAGAAUUUUUAUUUUAAAAGUAGCCCUAUCAAAAUUUAAUUUGCAAAAAUGGUCCUACUCCUGCCACGCAAGUGCCACGUCAGCGCCACGCGGGCGGGGCCGGGGGCGGUAGUUAAGUUAAACACGGUGAAUCAUUCACCGUGUUUAGACACGGUGAAUGAUUCACCGUGUUUAGUACGUAUUUUUUGUAGAGGAAUAGGGAGUUAGGGAUGUUAAUGGGGUAUGGAUAUUCAAAAUAUUAUUCGAACCUAAACCCGAAUAAAUUAUUUUAUAUACAUAAUUUAUUUUUACAUAUUUAUACAAUAUAUAAAAUAUCCAAUAAUUUUUAUUUCUUAGAUCUUCAUCCAAUCCAACGGUAUAAAAUAUCUAAUAAUUUUAAAAAUCUAUACCAUUGGAUUGAUNGGCUGAAGAACUGCCCGGCAUCACCGGUGUCGCUGAGGAGGCGGUCGACAAGUGCGGUGCGGUCCUCCGAGCUGAGCGCGGCGACGUCGACCUCGGAGAAGGCGCCAGGGGAGUCGUCGCCGCGGCGGAGGAGUCCGCGGCGGGCGCGGGCGAAGGUGGGGAGGCGCUCGAUCGCCGCCCGCCGGAGCGCCUCCUCCUCCUCCUCCUCCACGCCGCUGCAUUCGCGGUACGAGCUCGACCUCGAGAACGCCGGCUCCGUAGGCGCCCACAUAGUAACCCUAACCCUAACCCUAACCCUAACCCUCGUCGCUCGAAGGGGUGGGGGUGGGGGUGGUGGAGAGAGGAGGAGGGGGUCUUAAAAGAGGGAGGAGCAUAGGGUUGGGGUUGGAUCCACCGACUCGGAGCGAGCAUUUAUUGCCUCUCUUCUCUCUCUCUCUCUCUCUCUCUCUCUCUCUCUCUCGCGUUUUCUUACUUGCAGAAACGCGAAAAGGGAGGGGGGAGAGAGGGUAAAAAAAGUUUAGGAAGGAAAAAUGGCGGGGUUUAGAGACUUUAAGACCGUUGGGUGGUUGGGAUUUUAAAGUGAGGUUAUUAAUGGCGCGGAACGUCUUAUUUAGGGGUUUUUUUGCAUUUAGCCCCCUAGUAAAUUUUUAUUUUAAAAAUAGCCCUAUCAAAAUUUAAUUUACAAAAAUAGCCCUGCACCUGCCACGCAGGCGCCACGUCAGCGCCACGCGGGCUGGGCAUGGGCCAGUGUAUUAAGUUAAACACGGUGAAUCAUUCACCGUGUUUAGACACGGUGAAUGAUUCACCGUGUUUAAUACGUAUUUUUUUGUAGAGAAACAGGGAGUUAGGGAUGUUAAUGGGGUAUGGAUAUUCAAAAUAUUAUUCGAACCUAAAUCCGAAUAAAUUAUUUUAUAUACAUAAUUUAUUUUUAUAUAUUUAUACAAUAUAUAAAAUAUCCAAUAAUUUUUAUUUCUUAGAUCUUCAUCCAAUCCAACGGUAUAAAAUAUCUAAUAAUUUUAAAAAUCUAUACCAUUGGAUUGAUGAAGAUCUAAGAAAUAAAAAUUAUUAGAUAUUUUAUAUAUUGUAUAAAUAAAUAAAAAUAAAUUAUGNCAACGGUAUAGAUUUUUAAAACCCGCUGGGUUUAGGUUCGGGUUUCGAGUUUUUGGUUGGAUAUGGAUAUAGGUAUGAAUUUUUAAAAUCCGUUGGGUUUGGAUCCGGAUUUGGAUUUUAAUUUGAUUUUCAGGUUCGGAUUCGGAUUUUUGAAAAAGAGAAGAAAAAGAAUACAAAUUUCCUAUUCCUCUUUUCAAUAUACAAAAAAUACGUACUAAACACGGUGAACCAUUCACCGUGUUUAGACACGGUGAAUGGUUCACCGUGUUUGAACACGGUGAAUGGUUCACCGUGUUUAACUUAAUACACUGGCCCAUGCCCAGCCCGCGUGGCGCUGACGUGGCGCCUGCGUGGCAGGUGCAGGGCCAUUUUUGCAAAUUAAAUUUUGAUAGGGCUAUUUUUAAAAUUAAAAUUUACUAAGGGGCUAAAUGCAAAAAAACCCCAAUUUGAUACCUUGAGGUAUGUAGAAGUUUGGUGGACCUCGUCUAACACGUCAGCUGAAGGUGAGGCAAUUGAAAGUGCAACUUCCUUGGAACGGUGGAUGUAAUUAAAAAAUUUUAUUACAAAAAUUCAACUGAGUUGGAUCCUUUUACACCGUUAAAUAAACAAACCUCUUAUAUUGACCAUUAAAAUUAUAAAUUUUGUAGCUCUUUGAUCAUUAGAUCAAUAAUAUUAAAAAUAUUCAAAAUUUGAUUUCUAAAUUUUUCAAGUGGUAUAGAUCAUGUUCAACGAUAUUGAUUGUCAAUUUGGAGGCUUCAUCAUUGAAAAUAAAUCGAUAACGGGAGUCCGUUUGUUAUUGAUAGUAUUAUAUAUAUAUAUAUAUAUAUAUAGAGUCCAGCUAUGGUGCUUCUAAAAGCACCAAGUACUUGGUGCUUGUAAGUUUUUUACCAUUAGAUUUACUCUACGGAUCAUUUUAUUUAAAAUCAUUAGAUUAUACUAUUUAACCAACCACCCACUCAACCCUAUGGCGCCCGCAUCAUUCUAACUGCAUAUCUCUUAAUCCAAUGACUAAAAAUCUACAAGUACCAAUGUCUUGGUAUUUUUAAAAGCAUAGGAGCUCAAUUCUAUAUAUAUAUAUAUAUAUAUAGAGAGAGAGAGAGAGAGAGAGAGUCCGGCUGGGAUUGUCACGCCCCGGAUUACACGUUUUUCCGGGCACGCCAACAGACCCGCCGUACAUAGAAAUUUUUCUUGUAUACGAAACGAUAGCUAUACCUGUAAACAAAGUCAAGUUACAACCACAAGAUAAAGAGGUACUAAACUGAAAACAUAUCAAUAUAAAACCUCGAGGGGUUCCAGUACAUACAAAAUGUCUACUACAUCACUCACUCCAGCGAGUACCCAGACAACAACCAUAUGUACAUAAAUACUCCAAAACUAUCUGUGGGAGAUACUCCUCUAGCACUGCAACUUAUCUGAAAGGGAUCAAGCUCGCAACUCGCUUUCCACGAUCAGAAUCGGCGACAACAGCAGCCGCAGAAGAAUGCUCUGCAAAAAGGGGUCAACAACUAGGUGUGAGAAUUACUGCAAAAAGUAGUCCUCAGUGGGUACCAUUAUCGACUUCAACGGCUCACCCACUAAGUUUACAGAAAGUAUGCAGGAAGAUAGUAAAGAAAGCUGGUACAAACUCUACAGCUAUAUGCCACUAUACUAUCACUAACCAACACUAGCUAUCUGUAGAUGUAAACAUGAUGCAAUCUCUGACCCAAUCUCACUGGGGACUGUGAACACACCCGUCCCGCCUGUCGAAGCUACACCAACCACCACCACACUGGGUAGUUGAUGAAGAGCAAAUCCAACCUAGGCACUACUACAUCAACACAUAAAGCUCGACUCCGGAGUGGUACUCGUGGGUGCUACCCAACGGAGUAUACAAGCAUGUCUCUACCGAGCUCAAUCAAACUCUCACAGGCUAUAAUCAAAGCAAAUGGGUCUAACUGGUCUAACAACCAAAGCUCACGUGCCCUUGGCACAAUCUGAUGCUAACACAGAAAUUUGGGUCCACCGUCAACCGCGACGGCACCUGACAGUCCGAAACAGUCUACACCUAACUGUAAAAAUAAGCUCAGCAUCCCAGCACGAGCAUAAACUCAUCCUAAACUAAUCUGGAUAUCCACCGCGUACAAACUGCGGCGACACAAACCAACCACAGCUCAUAAAACUAAAUAUAGUAGUUUUUAGAAAAUGACAGUCUAGUAUCUAUAGUUUUCUCCUAGUCAAUUCCAAAUCCAACAUGUAAAACAAAUCUAGCAUUUGUAGCAUUUAAGCUCCAAUUCAGAUUUCAUUAAAAGCAAUGCAAAUCGGCGAAUCGAGCUACUAACAUGAUACUACAUAUGAAAUUUACAUGCUGACAACAUCUACGCUUAAGAGGAAAUCCGACGAUUUCGGUAAACUUCAACCCACCUCGAAACGCUCGUGCAACAACGGUGAGAAGUCAAAAGGAGAGGAAUCUUGCGCUCGCCUGGCCUCCAACGGCGCAACCGCGAUGCCCACACGCUCGAACGGCUCUUCGGCGGAACGUCAACGUCGAUAUGAGCUCAAGCCGUGACCUCAAUCACAAACGAAUCCACCAGCUAGAGAGAGAGCGGAAAAGGAGAAGAAGAACCGGCCACAACCCCCUCUCUGUCAAUAUAUAAGCUGGGAGACAUUGGGUUGAUCGACACUGUUGGAAGGACCAAAAUGCCCCUCACCAACUCAAAAAUCCAGCUGGAGUACCGGUACCUCACUUGAAUAUCGGUACUCGGCCUUCAGCCCGCAGCUUCGCACAUUGGGUACCGGUACUCACCCGAUGUAAUACCGGUACUCGGGCUCGGUACCGGUACUUGUCCGAUGCAGUACUGAUACUCAGCAUCAGAUUGGCACAACUCGAGAGCGGACUGUUCAGGAAAUACACUUGGGUACCGGUACUCCCCUGUAUGGUACCGGUACUCAAUACUAAAAACCUGCACUUUGCAGAUUCCAAUGUCAAUGCACUGCUCUCGCGUUGCACUGAGUCCGUUUUGCGUCCAUUUCGCACCAAAAUGACUCGACUUGUCCCGACACUCUCCAGAUGUGUCGACAAGCCUCAGAUGCUGAAACCCAACAGGCAGUAUCAAAAUACCAGGGAUACUUUACAUGCCACUCGUUCAUAUCAUAAUGCCUCUAAUACACUAGUUUACAUGUCCCUCGUUUUCAUCAUCGAGUUCAAGUUCACCCUUUUCUUAUCACUAUAGGAUUUUAUGUCACAAGACCCAAUCCUCAUGCCCCCCCUAGAUUCAUGUGUCAAGGUCACGAUGCUACACUACUAAGAAAGUAUGCAAGGAAAUAGAAAUGCAACUAUAAUGCAUAAGUAUCAAUAGGUGAAAACAUGAUCAACGAUCAACUCGGACAUAGAAAGAAGUCCAACUGCUUCGGGAUGACACCCCCCACUUUCAAUGCCACGAUGUUCAAGUUCUUUAUCAUACCUCUAUAGAGUCCUGUGUUCACACCCAAUCCUCACACACAUAGCCCUAUGUUCCAUCUCAUAUUUGCACAAACCUCAUGAGAAAAUGCAAGGAAAGGAAUAAGCAACAACCUACUCUACGAUGUAUGAAUACUAUACAUGAACAUAUAUGGCCAACAUCCAUUUAUCAUCUAGUAAAUGCUAUGACAUGUCAAUAUGCAUAUUCCAUUUAUCAUAUUCUUACCAUAUGUCAAUCAUGUAUAAUUCAUCUAAUAUAAUCCACCAUAUGUCAACAUGCAUUUUAUCUAGCAUAUAUUCUCAUCUAGUAGAUUCCAAUGGUAGGCAACAUUGUCAAGCAUAAUAUGAUCCAAGCAUUCAUAUUAUCAUACAAGCCUACCAAUACACAUAUAUGCAUCAAUAAGUAAUAAAACCGCAUUCCACUUAGACAUGGAAGCAAGCUAGUAUCUUCGGUGAGCACAACCCACCUCGCAACACUUUCUGAUUGCUUGUCGACACUUGUAAUCGGGCUCCCGCGGCACACGAUACCCGGUUCGGCUCGAAUCCGCAAUCGGCGCGUCAAUCCGCAACCUAGAGUUGUUUGGGACCCUUCUCUAACCUUCAAUUAGAGAACAAUAGGGUUUAAUUAGAUCAAAACCCUCUAAUCUCUANAGAGAGAGAGAGAGAGAGAGAGAGAGAGAGAGAGAGAGAGAGAGUAGAGCUACCAUAUUUUUGAAAGCAUAAGAGAGUCCGUGCUUUCAGCUUUUUGGCCCUUAGACCAAUCUUUUUGACUAUUUUUGAUAUUUGGAUUAAUAUUAUUACCCUAGAGGGACUACUCAACCCUAAGGGGGACCACCAUUAUAAUCCUUGAUCCAAAAGUUAAAAAGUAAGAAGCACCAAUUUUCUUAUUCUUUCGAUAGCAUAGUAGCUCUACACUAUAUAUAUAGAGAGAGAGAGUUCGUAUAAUGUACCAGAUUUUAAUAUAAAUUAAGUGUAAAUAAAAAUAGUGUAGGAUACUAUUUUUAUUGGACUUAAAGAAGUAAAGUAUAAGUCGGAAAUGACUCGUGUUGAAAUCGGAAUGAAAACAGGAGAUUUAGAAUUUUCUGUGAGAAACGGGACUGAUAUUUUAAGCAGAAAAUUCACAUUCUCAGAAAAUUAUAAAAAUCUAAAAAUAUGUCAGGAUUAUUUUUAUGAGGCUAGAUUUAAAGUUUCAUGUCAUUCUCCCGGAAAGUAAAAAAAUAAAAUCUGACUGCUAUUUGCUAGAGAUUACAGUUCGGUAGAACUUUCGGUAACAAAAAAUGGUUGAAACUGAAAAGUUAUGAUAUUUUCUUGUUUAUUAAAUAAAACCGAGCCUGACUGUCAAAUUUGAGAGAAAACAGACAUUCAGAGGGGCUCCGGCGAAAAGGAACAGAUUCUGAGCUACUAAACUGCUGGUGGAAAUAGUCUUUUGAGGGUGUUUAUUAUAAAAGGAGUUGUCUUCUUCUUCUUCUCCUUCAACCGAGCAACACACACACACACCAGCACACACGCAUGGAGAGGGAGAGAGAAACCCUCCCUUUUUCUCUCUAAAUAUCUCUCUCAUCUCUCUAGAUGUCUCUCUCAAAUUCGCGGCGUUGGCGGAGAGCAAGCUUGUGAACGCGUUGGAAGCGACGGAUCGAGUCUUCGUGCGCCCGGUUGAGCGGCGUGCUUUCGACUCGGCAUUCGCAAUUUCGGUAAGUAUUUAGGAUUUGGUUUAAUCCUUAAUGCUUAGUGUUCUAGUAGUCUCCAAAGUGUUUCUAGCAUGUCGCUCUAUUUAAUUUUAGAAUAUUUGGAGGUUAAUUUCAUGCUAGGGCUUAAAAUGAGGGUUUGGAAAUUAGAGGGUUUUGAUCUAAUUAAACCCUAUUGUUCUCUAAUUGAAGGUUAGAGAUAAACCGUUGGAGACUCUAGGUUGAGGAUCGGAGAGUGUUCGGUUGCCGAUUGCGAGUUUGGGUCGAACCGGGCCACGCGUGCCGCGGGAGGCCGAUUGCAAGUGACUACAAGCAAUCGGAUAGCGUUGCGAGGUGGGUUAUGCUCACCGAAGAUAUUAGCUCACUUCCAUGUCGAAGUGGAGCGUUGUUUAUCAUUGAUGCAUACAAUGGUAGUUAGUUGCAAAACAUGUAGUCGCAUGAGAUGAAUGCUAUGAUUGACUACCAUAGAUGAUAAUAAUGAUGUAUGGUUACUAUUGAUGCAUGUAUGCAUAUUUGGUAGGUUGUACAUGAUAAUGUAAAUGUAGGAAUUAUAUUAUGCUUGAUGUUGUUACCUACUAUGAGAUGCUGGAUGAAUGUAUGACAUAGAGGCUAUACGAAUGCAUGAGAUAGAAUAUGCAUGUUGACAUAUUGUGGAUUAUGUUAGAUGAAUAUGCAUGAUGAUAUGUUAUAGCAUAUGCUAGAUUCAUGUAGAUGUGAACUUGGAUCAAUAACUCUUAGUGGAUUAGAGAAUUCGACAUUGGAAAACAAGAACAUGAAAACUAUAAUACUCGAUGUGGACAAGUAGAAUGUCAAGUAGAUCGAGUGGCAUUUGGACUAGUGUAGUAGAGACACUAUGACGUGAACAGAGGGAUAGAUGAUUUCCCGAGUUGUGUAUAUGUGCCACGUGAAACUAGUGUAGUAGAGACACUUGUGACAUUACUAUUGGGAUUAGUGGAUUUCCCAUGUUGUUGUUAACCCUAGUAGACAGGGUAUCCUCGAGUGAGAGGAUUGGAUCAUACUCACAUAGUCUGUUUAACCUUGGCGUGGUCGCCCCACCCAAGUAGCGAGCUCCGGAGUCGUCGUCGCGUUUGGGUAACAUGAUUACCCAGCAAACGGUCUCGGGUGUGUGUAAUGCAGAGUCUCCUCACCGCGAGAUUUGAGAUGUGAGUCGGCCUUAACCUUUUGGUUAGCGAGUGAGAUUGGGUGACAUUCUUGUGAGCUAUGGAUGAAUCCCAGCAGAGUGGAUUGACAUCCUAGUUGAUAUCCCAAUUGAGUGGAUUCAAGGCUGAGGUGCAUGUGAGACGUCCUUCACCUCGAGCCUGGUUUUACGCGGUACUCUGCGGAUGAUUGACUCAAGACCGAAUCGAGUGGAUAGCUUUGUAAAAGUAGAUGAAACCUUGUUAGCAAAAUUGUAAUUGACAUGAAUCUAAGAUAGAGAAAAACUUAGAUGUCAUUUGGAUGAGCUAUGGAUAGCGAGACAAAAAGUAGAAGCAGUUGAUCUACUGACAUUAUUGCAUAUUGAGUUGGAUGAUUGCAUUGUUGCAUGUUGCGAGGCAUGAACAUUAUAAAUGUUAGUUGCAUAAAAUAUUUGAUGAAAUAUAUAUACCUGCGGAUACUUGUUGGACUAACAUGUUGCAGUGCCUCCUUCGGAUCUGGUGAAUUGAGCUUUUCCCUUGGGUGGCCAUACCCACUGGGAACUAUGGACAAUAGUUCUCACCCCCGUAUUGAUUUUGGGGUACAGGUUCACACGUGAGCGGCGCGGCGACGCGAGGAAAAGGCGUAGCUUCGUAGAUAGCGCCUUACCAUAGAGACCAGAGAUAGCAUUACACUGAGUCGGCCUAGCUAGGGGUUGUAGAAAAGCAUUAUUGUUGUAACCUUAAUUGUAUUUGGAAGAAAAGAAAAUGAAAAUCUAAUAUGUAAAAAGCAUGUGAUGUGAAUACUUGUAAUAGUUUAGUUGUUUUAUGUUUUCGAUACUUCCUUAUGCAAUCUGUGAUUGAAUACUGUUCCCAGUUGGAAUAUUAAUGGCGACGCCUAGGACGUACAGGCGAAACUCUGUCCGUUCGGCGGUCUGUCGGCGUGCCCGAAUCCGACUAAAUAGGCGGGUCUUGAGGCGUGACAGUUCGAAUCGAGUGCUUCUAUUAGUACCAAGCACUUGAUGCUAAGUUUUCCUUCGUUAAUCAUUUCCAUUCAUUAGACCAUAAUAUUCAACCAGCCACCCACUCAAUUCUACGUGAUCACUAUCAUCCUAACUACACAUUCUUUUAUUUAAGGACUGAAAACCUAAUAGCACCAAUGACUUGAUACUAUUUGAAAUACUUCAGCCUCUCUCUCUUUCUCUCUCUCUCUCUCAAUAUAUAUAUAUAUAUAUAUUUUAUCAUCUCAUGUAUGAAGUGAUGAAAUUUAAAAAUACAAUUCGCAAUUGCAUACAACCAAAAUUAUUGCCAUAACGCAAUUUAGUGCAUUCAGCCAAACAAGAUUUAUGCAAUUAUGAUUGCUGCAUUCCUAACUAUAUUGUAUAGUAGUUGCAACUUUAUGCAUUUUAUUUGAUUGAAUACAAUAAAAAAUAUGUAGCUAUAAACAGUCUAAUUUGUUUUUUUUUUUCUUUUGUUUAUAAUUUUUUAAAAUACUAAUUGUAUAUAAUUUUAUAUACAAGAAGAAGAUUUUUUUUUUCUUUUUUCUUAUUAUGAUGAUCAGUUAGUUUGCAUACACUUCAACCUGAUAAUGGAGGACAAGUUUUCUUGGAAAGAUUAUAGGAGUGUAUGAUAUACACUUACCUUUUUUUUGAAUGAGAUUAUUUACUUAUCACAUGAUGUGACUAGUAAAAUAAUUUCAUUAAAUAGACAAGUGAGAUAUGUGAUAUAUGUUGGAAAAAUCAUUCUGAUCUUUUAUUACAAUAUUCUAAAAACAAUUCGAAAGUUUAAUUUCAGGUUUGGAAAAAUUCCGAGAAAGAAAAUAAAUAACAAAUACUGUAAAGAAAAGGUUUAGAAAAGGCCUGUGGAUCGAGGCGUGCAGAGCACUAUCCUAGAAUGCACCUCUACGUGCGAGGCUUCCCGGCAAUUACUUCCAGCAAUACAACGAUCACGUUCCACCCCGUCGGCACGCUUUCAAGGUGGCGCAAGACGAACCCAACAAGCUUCAGAUCCAGCUAAGAAAGCUCGGUGAAAAUAGACGAGGUAGGGUUUAGGUAUGCUAGGGUUCUUCGUUGAACACACGUAACCUUCCAAAAUAUAUAUAAUCAAGGCGGGAAUCUUAUUUCAACAGGUCAAAUCUAUGUAGAACAAGAUAAGCCUAAGAUUAUACAAAUAAGGAUUAGGAUUAGUGUCACGCCCCGGAUUACUCUUUCCCCGGGCACGCCGACAAAUCCGCCAUAUACAAAGAAAAUUUUUCUGUAUACGAAGCGAUAGCUGUACUUGUAGAUCAUACAACACUACAACCAGUAGUAUAGAGCUGCUAAAUGACAAGUAUAUAAAGAUAAUGGAUCAGUACAUAUGCAGUAUCCUGGUACAAAAGUACUCGCUCCAGCGAGGUAUAACAACAGUAUGUAAUGAACCAAAAACUACAACUAUCUAUAGCUGGAACUCCGCUAGCUUUGGCUUGUCUGGUAGGGCUCUAACUCACGACGCCCUUGCCAUGAUCAGAAUCAACAGCAGCAGCAGCAGCAGUCGAAGACGAUGGCUCUGCAAAACGAAAGGCAACAACUGGGCGUGAGAACUACUGUAAAAACAAGUAGUCCUCAGUGGGUACCGCCCUCAAAAUCAUCGGUUCACCCACCAAGUCUACAGAAGUAAGCAGAGAUAGUAAGAAAAGCUAAAAUAAAUCUACAGCUAAAAGUCAGUAUACUAUCAUGCUCUAACACUAACCAUCUGUAGAAAAAUAAAUCCUGACCCUAUCUCACUAGGAACUGUAAGCAUACCCGUCCGAGGGACUGCGAACACACCCGUCCCGCCUGUCGAAACGAACCAGUAAACUACUCUAUGAGUAGCCGGUGGAGAAAACUCUCUAGGGAAUGAAUACACCCGUCCCGUCUAACUAGGUGACACCUUAGCUCAAGAGUAGUCGAUGGAGAAAACUCUCUGGAGACUGUGAAUACACCCGUCUUGCUUAACUAGGCUAUACCGUGGCUCAAGAGCAAUUGGUGGAGAAAACUCUCUUGAGACUGUGAAUGCACCCGUCUCGCCUAACUAGACUACACUGUAGCUCCAGGGUAGCCGGUUCAAGUAAAAAGUCCGACAGGACGACUGUGACUCCACUCACGUCACAACCUUAUCGGAGGUAGGGAAAAGCGUCACUACGAUCUCACCCAGGCUGCCCAAACGGACCCACUCUGCCUGUAUCUAGCUACACCGUACACCACCCCAAGGGUGGCUGGCUCAAGAAUUAUCCCAACAGAAACUGUGACCUCAUCACAAUGAAACCUCAUUCUGGAAUGGCAUUCGUGGACGCGACCCAAACGAGUUUACAAGUGUCUCUGCCAAGUUCAUUCAGGCUCUCACAGGCUAUAAUCAAAUAGACAGGUUCUCACUGGUCUAACAACCAUAAUCCACGUGCCCUUGGCACAAUCUGAUGCACAAACCGCAAACUAGGUCCACCGUCAACCCCGACGGCACCCGACAGUCCGGAACAGCCUAACUACUGCUGUAAAAAUAAGCUCGGCAUCCCAGCAUGAGCGUAACUGUAACCUAAACUGCCUGAAGUAUCCACCACGCUCAACCUGUGGUGAUACAACCAAACUACGGCUCCUAGAGCUAAAUCUGGUAGUUUAAGCAUAUGACAGAUUUAAAUCGCUGGUUUUCUCCUAAGUCAAAUCCAAAUCCAAUAUGUACAAAUAUAUACAGUCACAAUACUAGGCUCCAAUUCAAAUUUCUAAAUAUGCCAAAGCAAUGAAUUGAGCAACUACAAUAUGUGAAACAACGCAACGGAUAUAUGUCGACUAUAUACACACUUAGAAGGUAAACCGAUUAACCCACCUCAAAAGCUACUCCAAACUACGGCAAGAAGUCGAAAGAAGCGAAAACACGCGCUCGCUCGGCCUCCCGAUGGCGCUACCACGCCGAACGCACGCUCGAACGGCUACCCUGCGCGACGUCGGCGUCGAUCCGAACUCCACCCGAAGCCUUCUCCACGUACGGCUCAAGAACUAGAGAGAGAGAAAAUUAAAGAAAUGGACACCCUAAGUUAAUUAAGUUGAUAAGCAUGCAUGAGGGGGUAGGUGCACGUGGCAUCCUUAUCCACAACCCACAAGACAAUCCUAGUCUUUACCAAAAAAAAAAAAAAAAAAAAAGGAUACUACAAUUAGGAUUAGGAUAAAGAUAAAACCGAAAAAACAAAAAUAAAAUAAAAUAAAACGGGUAUAUGGACCGCGCGCGCCGCUGCCCGCCGGCCCGGCUCGUGCUCGUGCCGUGCGUGCGUGCGUGUGUUUAAAUGAGAGCAUAACUCUCAUUUUCUUCUAAGCAACUAGCUUGAGAAUAAAUGAAUAUAUAUACCAACAACACCCUUUUAGUUUCCAAUGUGAGACUAAAUCUCACACAUGAAAACUUUAGUUGGGCUCUCAAGCAAGGCCCACUAAUUAUUGGGCUGCCCAAGAGGCCUAACAAAUUUUAAAUCACAAAAAAAUCCAAUAAAAUCUAAUAAUAUACAUCUCUUUGGGGUGUAUGGAUACAUUGCUUAUAAUAUUAGAGAUGCCAAUGGAGCGGAUCCAAGUGCGAGAGGAGUCUCCUACUUUUUUUUUGUGCAAAUGGGGUGAAUUAAGUACUGAUUAAUUUAUCAUAUUUUUUACCCUACUUAUCGCUCCAUUCUUUGUGGAUCAGGAUUGGGAUGGAUAUUCGGGGUAUCAUGAGUUAUGUGUUGUAACAUUUUAUUAUUAAUUAUGAAAUUUUAAUUUAUUAACAUAGUUCAAGUGAAGGUACAACUUCACUUAAUUUGCAUUUAUGUUAGUAAAGUUACAACUUCACUUAUUUUGCAUUUAUGUUAGUAAAGUUACAUCUGUUUUAAUUUGAUAACCUAUACACGUAUAUUUCUAUAACUCUUAAACACUUAAUUUUUGUAAUUAAUACCUUGUAACCCAUACUAUUUUGAAGCCUAUAAAUAGAGGGCUUCUCUAUUCACUUACACACAACUCAAAAAAGAAGAACGAAAAGAAAAAUAAAAGCCUACUUCUAUUAUACUUGUGAGAGAGAGAAAGUCAAAGAAAGGUGUUUCUUUUGGUGGAGCUUUGGCCUUAUAACUUGUGUAGAGUUGGUGAAGCCACACGACGAGGGUUGAGCCGUUGUAUUCUGGAGGGGACAAGGCAGUAUUCUGCUGCAUCGGUUAAAAGGCUUUACCAAUCGCAGAGGGCUUGAAUCUUCUUAAAGAGAGCGAGAUUUUCGUGCCUCGGCUUGAACGACUUGUUGACACUUUUUAUAUUAUUUUGUAGCUAGCCUCUAUUUUUGGAAUAUAUACACUAAUAAUUUUAAGGAGAUUCAAGAAUGAAGGCUACACUGAAAAGUUCAACAGUGCAACAAAAAAUCUCAACGAGCAAAAAGAGACGUCUCUCGAGACAUUAAUCGCACGCAUUCGCGUGGAAGAGGAGCACGCAUUCGCGUGGAAGAGGAGGUAAGAGGCUAAGAUGCACGUGAAGCAAAAGAGAAUGAUGUUAGCGCCACUAAGGUAAACUUAGUAUCUUCUAAUUUUUUACCUAAUCACAAUCGUUCUAGAAAUACAUACUUGAAGCUUAAAAAGAAAAUUGGAAAAAAUAGUGGUAGACCUCAAUUUAAGCAAAAUGACCAAGGACCUCCUUCUUAUGUGAAAAAUAUAGUUUGUCAUGUCUGUGGCAAAAGUGGGAAUAUUGCUCGAAUUUACAAAUUCCAAAAACAUAAAGCUUUACCUCAAGCUAAUAUUACCGAGGAGACACUUGUGGCGAUGAUAGCAGACAUAUGCUUAGUUGAAAGUGCUGAAGGAUGGUGGGCAGACUCUGGUGCCAAUAGGCAUGUCUGUUAUGAUAAAGGUUGGUUUAAAACAUACACUCCCUAUGAACAACCAAGAAGUAUUAUGCUUGGUGAUUCACAUACCUCUGAAGUUUUAGGGGGUGGUAAGGUCGAGUUAAAAUUUUCUUCUGGGAAGGUGCUUAUCUUGAAAGAUGUGUUGUAUAUACCUUCGAUUAGGAAGAACUUGAUAUCAAGUUUUCUUCUUAAUAAAGCUGGCUUCAAACAGACCAUCGAGUCUGAUUAGUAUGUGAUUUUCAAGAAUGGAAAGUUUGUAGGUAAAGGUUAUGCAUGCGAUGGAAUGUUUAAACUAAACAUUGAGAAUAAAGCAUCAUCUACUUCUGCUUACAUACUUUCUUCUGUGAAUUUUUGGCAUGCUCGUUUGUGUCAUUUUAACAGCAAAUAUGUUAGCUUGAUGAGUAGUUUAGGAUUAAUUCCCAGACUGAAUAGUGAUUUUGACAAAUGUGAAACAUGUAGUAAGUCAAAAAUCACUAAACGACCUCACAAGAGUAUUGAAAAAAGUACCGAACUACUUGAGUUAAUUCACAGUGAUAUUUGUGAAUUUGAAGGUAAUCUAACUCGUGGAGGAAAUAGAUAUUUUAUCACUUUUAUCGAUGAUUUUUCUAAAUAUACUUAUAUCUAUUUAUUAAAAACUAAAAGUGAUGUUUUUGACAAAUUUAAAGAAUUUCUCCAUGAAGUAGAAAAUCAAUUCAGUAAAGAGAUAAAGAGAAUUAGAAGUGAUCGAGGUCGUGAGUAUGAAUCUACGGGAUUCAACUAUUUUGUUUAGUCUUUAGGAAUUAUCCAUGAGACUACUGCUCCAUAUUCGCCUGCCUCUAAUGGUGUGGCUGAGAGAAAAAAUAAAACACUUAUUGAGCUAACAAAUGGUAUGAUAGUUGAUACUGGGGGUACGUACCCCUAAAUUUUUGGGGUAAAGCCAUUUUAACUGCAUGUUAUGUUUUGAAUCGCAUGCUACAUAAGAAGUCUAAGAUGACACCCUUUGAAUUGUGGAAAGGGUAUAAGCUAAAUUUGGAAUAUCUUAAAAUGUGGGCUUGUCUAACAUAUGUGAGGCUACCGGACCUUAAAAGACCCAAAUUGGCUGUUAGAGCUGUCAUUUGUAUAUUUCUUGGAUAUGCGUUGAAUAGUACAACUAUAAAUUUUUAGACAUUAAAAAUAAUGUAAUUUUUGAAUCAAAAGAUGCUAUUUUUCAUGAAGAAAAGUUUUCUUAUAAAUUAAAAAAUAGUGGGGGUCAAGAUUUUAAAAGUGUUUCAAAUAAACUGAGUUCUUCAAACUCCUAUUUGCAAAAUCAAGAAGAAAAUAUUUUUGAACCAAGAAAAAGCAAGUGAAACAGAAUUGAAAAAGAUUUUGGCCCUGAUUAUGUUUUUAUGAAUAUUGAAGAAAAUCCACAAGAAGCUUUAUCUUCAAAUGAUGCAAUUUUUUGGAAAGAGGCUGUAUCUGAUGAGAUAGAAUCCCUAAUUUCUAAUAAAAUAUAGAAAUUAGUAGAUUUACUUCCAGGCUGUACAACAAUUGGUUGUAAAUAGGUUCUCAGAAAGAAGUUGAAACCGAAUGGAAGUGUAGACCAGUAUAAAGCUAGACUUGUCGCAAAAUGUUAUAAACAAAAAAAAGAUCUAAAUUUCUUUGAUACAUUUUCUCCGGUGACGAGAGUGACAUCCAUCAGAGUUCUGAUUGCUAUUGCUGCAAUUCAUGACUUACAAAUUCAUCAGAUGGAUGUAAAAUUUGCCUUUUUGAAUGAGGACCUAGAUGACGAAAUUUAUAUGGACCAAUCUGAGGGGUUCAUUGAGCCUGGGCAAGAAAAUAAAGUGUGCAAGCUAAAUAAAUCCUUUUAUGGCUUAAGGCAGGCACCUAGACAGUGGCAUGAAAAUUUUGAUUUUUGUAUGAUUGAGAAUGACUUUAAAUUAAACGAGUGUAAUAAGUGCAUCUAUUACAAAAUUUUUAAAAAGUUGCAUGUUAUUGUUAGCCUUUAUGUGGAUGAUUUACUAAUUUUUGGCUCUAACUUAAAUGUUAUCAAUGAGACAAAAAUUAUGCUAAAUCAUUAUUUUAAAAUGAAGGAUCUUGGUGAGACUAACUUUAUUUUGGGUAUGAAAUUUACGAAAACAUCAGAUGGGAUCUUUCUUGAGAAAAUUUUAAGAAAGCACAACUUUCUUAAUUGCAAGAACAUGACUACACAUUUUGAUUCGAGCGUUUACUUAUUUUUUGUUAAAAGUGAAAGUGAAAUUUUGAAUCAAAAGGAAUAUACUAGUAUGAUUGGGAGCUUGCGGUUUGGAACUGAUUGUACGAGACCUGAUAUUGCAUAUGCAGUAGGGAUAUUCAGUAGAUUUAAAAGCAAGCCGGGCACAGAGCAUUGGCAUGCCAUAGAACAGUGAUGAGAUAUCUCGUUAGUACGAAAACUUAUGGCUUGUUUUGUGGGAAGUAUCCUGCUGUGAUUGAGGGAUACAGUGAUGCUGACUGGAAUGCCCUAUCAGGUGAUUCUUUUUCUACCGCUGGUUAUAUUUUUACUUUAGCAUGUGGUGCUAUAUGUUGAAAAUCUAAAAAGCAAACUAUUAUUGCUAACUCAACUAUGGAAGCCAAGCUUAUUGCCUUAACUUCAGCUAGCGAGGAAGCUAGUUGGUUGAGAGACUUAUUGUCUGAGAUUCUAUUUGUGGAAAAAUUAGUUACAUCUGUGUUAAUACACUGUGGUAGCACUGCUGCUAUUGGUAGAGUAAGAAACCGUUAUUAUAACAGUAAAUCCAGAUCCGUGAGAAGAAAACACAGUAUUGUGAGUCAUAUAUGAACAAUAAUAUUAUCAGUGUAGAUUAUAUUAAAUCUAUUGAUAAUCUGGCAGAUCUAUUAACCAAGGCCUUAGGAAGAGAAAGGAUCUGGAGCACAUCGAGGGGAAUAGGGUUGAAGCCCAUAACAUCAUGAACCACAUAUGAGGAUAUCCAACCUGAUGAUCAGAGAUCCUGAAAAUUGGGUUUCAUGGGAAAAACGAAUUAUAUGGUGGUCGUAAAGAAUGCACAAUAUAUAGAUUUAUCUAAUCGCAUCUUUACCUAUCCCUAUGGUGUAGGUGCAUUCAUCCUGUAAUGAAAAGAGGGUUGAACUUUUGCUCUUAAUGAAAUUUGUGGCUUUUAUGAGCAGGGGGUUAAUUAGAACUAUAGGAGCACCCUUGACGGAUUUCAUAUAUGUGAGAAUAGAAGUGAGAUCGUUUCCUAUGAGAACGGGCUUAUUCUCAAAUAUGCUAAUGAAAAUCAGGAUCGGCACAAGGCCGUAACGUGCUAGCUAAUAAAGCUCAUAUCAACACCUGGAUUGUUAUAUGUGAGAAGUGACUCUCUAUUUUUCCUAAACAGGCAAAGUUCAAGUCUGAAACCACUCUGGCUCUGGAGUAAAGAUUACUGUUUCACUAAGUGAAGACUCAAUGCAGAGCACACAUUCAUUAUAUAUAAUGAUCUCUCUUUGGCCAUCAAACUCUCAUAUAUUUUUAAUAAUAAAAUGAGUGGAGAAAUGUUGUAACAUUUUAUUAUUAAUUAUGAAAUUUUAAUUUAUUAAUAUAGUGCAAGUGAAGUUACAACUUCAUUUAAUUUGCAUUUAUGUUAGUGAAGUUACAUCUGUUUUAAUUUGAUAACCUAUACACGUAUAUUUCUAUAACCCUUAAACACUUAAUUUUUGUAAUUAAUACCUUGUAACCCGUACUAUUUUUAAGCCUAUAAAUAGAGGGCUUCUCUAUUCACUUAUACAUAACUCAAAAAAAAAGAACGAAAAGAAAAAUAAAAACCUACUUCUAUUAUACUUGUGAGAGCUAUUAUACUUGUGAGAGAGAGAAGGUCAAAGAAAUGUGUUUUUUUUUGUGGAGCUUUGGGCUCACCUAUUUGUGCAGGGUUGGUGAAACCACAUGACGAAGGUCGAGCCGUUGUAUCCUGGAGAGGACAAGCUAGUGUUUUGCUGUAUUGGUUAAAAGGCUUUGCCAACCGCAGAGGGCUUGAAUCUUCUUAAAGAGAGCGAGAUUUCCGUGCCUCGGCUUGAACGACUUGUUGACACUUUUUAUAUUAUUUUGUAGUUAACCUCUAUUUUUUUAAUAUAUACACCAACAUUAUGACAAAUCAAGAGAAUGAAUGUUCCUCGUCUCUCACUCCAUUUUUUUUAAGUAGAUUAGAAUAGAUUUAGGAUGACUUAUUUUUUUUCUUUACUUUUGAUUUCCUUAAAUCUUAAUGCUGUAUUCGAUAUGGAUCGGAGCGGGAGUUUCACCGACCCGGUUCCAUUUGCAUCCCUUAUUAUUAAUAGGUUAAUUGCAAACAUCUCCCUAUAAAUAUAGCAGAUUGCAAAUAUUUUUCUACAAAGUUUAACUUUCUUACGUUAUUUCUACAAAUAUCAUAAUAUUUUCAAACACAUGCGGUUAAGAUCUGUUAGAAAAGUUUAGUUAAUCAUAGAUAAAAUAUUUAACAAUUGUUAGUUAAUGGGGUAAAUUGACAUUUUUACCUCUCUUAAUUAUAUUAUACUUUCCUUUCUCAAUCAAAACUCUAGUAACAGGAACUCUUCUUUUUCUUCGUUUUCUUCUUUUUCAUUAAUACUAGGAACUCGUAACUAGAAUUUCUCCGUUGCCAUUCAUUCACAACGCGUCUUUCUUCGUCCAUGUGGAACGCGUGUUGCCUUUUCAUUCAAUUUUUUUCUAUAAUUUUUUUCUUAUUUUGUUCAAAAGAAAAAGUUUAGGAGAAAAAGAGUGAGAGAAGAGGUUGCAACAAUCGUGAAUUGAGUUGGAUUUUAAAAAGAAAGAAGAUGAGGAAAAAUAUGACCAUUGAAAAUUUUUUUGGGGAUCAUUUCUGCACGAUUAUAGUAGAUAGGGUUUUUGGAGAAACAUAUUUGUAUUGGCAGAAUUAACAUUUCACUUAGCUGCCGUUAAAAAAUAAACAGUUCUCUAACAUUAAUAAAUAAAAAAGACAAAUAUGAAUAUCACUGAAAUUUUAUAAAAAUAAAAUAAAUAUAUUAAACUUUACAAAAAUAUGUUAUUCGUUAUAUUUACAUAUAAAGUUAUAUGCAAUUAACCCUAUUGGUCGUACUAGGUGUGGUCUAUGAAUGAUGUGGUAGACCUGGUCCACUUAAUAAUUUCAUUUCACGACGGCGUUUCCCAUUGUCACCCCCGAGAUGACCGGCUCCGAGCAUCUGCAACCGCUGAUAACCGGUCACCCGAACCUUGUCGGCCUCGGUUCCGCUCCAGUGCCCUCAAAAAUCUAUAUAAGCCUACCUCCCGUCCCCCUUCGUCCGAGGAAAGAGGGAAAAAAAAAAAAAAAAAAAAAACAAAGAGUUACAUGGACUCUACACGUGUCUUAAUUUUGUGUGUGUGUUCGAGGGAACACAACUUUGAACAAUGGAAACCUAGCUAGGUCCANGGAAAAAAAAAAAAAAAAAAAAAAUCAAGAGUUCGAAUCGGGGUCGAUCGAUCGAGAGUCGGCUCCUUCGUCUCCACUCAGAAAUUUACCCCCUUUUGCACCUCUUUUACUCUCCAAUUUCAGCUCGAAAUCGCGAGGUAAUGUCUCCGCCGCUUCAAUUUCCCUUUUUAUAUAGUAAUUUUUCGGGUUUUCUUCUUCGAUUUCGUCUUUGAUCGACCCGAUUGGAGGAAAAGAUUAAUUUAUAGUGAUGAUUUAUGCGGCGAUGGGGUUUUCUUUGCUAUCUCUUGCGAUUAUUGUGAUUUGGGGAUCUUUCUGAUCCGGGCGACUCAGAUUUUUUAUGACCUGUUGUUGUGGGGAUCUUUGAUCGUGCAAAAAAUUAGGGUUUUCUUCCGCGGAGAGCUGAAAAUUAGCGAUCUUUGAGAGGUGUUUAGGGUUUUUGAUCUGGUUCUCUUCUUCAGCAUCUUGCAUUUCCUGGUAAUCGUUGUGGUGAUCGAUUUUAGUUGGCUUCAGUGCGAUCGGGAGCUAAAAAAAGAUUUUUUUUUUUUUUUUCUUUUCUCUUCUAGGGAUCUCAAAAUUAGGGUUUUUUUUUUUUUUUUUUUUUUCCCCAACAUCUUCUUCUUUUUGGCGGCGAUCUUUUCUUAGGUAGGGCUGGCGCUGGAUAGCCGUGCGCAGUCUAGCCGCCAGUCCGGCGCUGCUCCGUCAGCCGCCGCUUCCAAACCCUCCUCCGCCGCCGGCGUCUUCUUCCCAGCCGAUGGCUGGAGCCCGGCCCCACCUGUGAGCUCCAUGUCAGGAGGCAGCGGAGGCCCCUCCGGUCCCGGGGACAUGAACCGGGGCGGCGGGGUCCUCAACAGCACGGCCAACUCCUCUGGGCCCAGCAUCGGCGCCAGCUCCUUGGUCACGGACGCCAACUCCGCACUUUCCGGCGGCGUGGGGGGCCCCCACCUGCAACGGAGCGCCAGCAUCAACACGGACCCCUACAUGCGCCUCCCGGCCUCCCCCAUGUCCUUCUCCUCCAACAACAUAUCGGGCUCCUCGGUCAUGGAUGGCUCCUCCAUCGUGCAGCAGAGCCCUCACCACGAGCAGCUACAGAACCAAGGAGCGUCCAGUGUUACGUCUAACCCUAAAGACAUGCAUGCUCACAAGAAGCAGAGGGUGAUGGAAGUGAAGCAGGAGGAUAUUCUGCAGCAGCAGGUGAUGCAGAAGCUGCUUCAGAGGCAGCAGGACCCGCUGCAGAUGCAGGGUAUUCAGAACCCUCAGCUGCAUUCUAUGAUCUCGCAGCAUAGACUAGCUCAAAGGCAGCUGCAGCAGCCGCAGAUGUUUCCGCAGAUGCAGUGCUCGCCGAUUGCCCAACAACAGAUGAGGCAGCAACUGCUGCCUCACAUCAUGCAGUCGGUCAGCCCUGUAAAACGCCCGGUUAACGGUGGGAUCUGCGCUCGCCGGAUCAUGCAGUACUUGUAUCACCAGCGGCAUCGGCCACAGGUGAGCAUGUAAUUGGAACGGAAGAAACCUUAUCUCUACGAUCUUUUGGCAUGAGCAAGUUGUGACCCUUUCUUAUAUUGCAGGACAAUAAAAUGUCUUACUGGAGAAAGUUUGUUGAAGAGUAUUUUGCUCCACGAGGAAGAAAAAGGUGGUGCUUGUCUUUGUACGAUAAUAUGGGCAACCAAGCCCUGGGUGCCUUCCCACAAACAUCUGUUGUGAGCUUUCUGCAUCUUAACCAUUUUGCUCUAAUUCUAUGAAUAAAAUUUCCUUAUCAAUUUCCCAAUAUUGCAUAGCAGAAACUUAAUUGUAAGCCUCAUAUUCCAUUUUUUUCCAAUCCAUAUCUGUUAAUCUUGGAUAAAGAUUUUCAUGUUUCUUGAGUUUAGCAUCACUGAUUGGUCUCUUAAUUUUGUUCUUUUCCACGUAUUAUUCUUUAUAAUUUAUCUAUUCCUUGUAAUUUUGAAAUAUAAUUUUGCUAUUCCAUAACUCUCUUUUAAAUUUACUUUUCCAUCUGUAAAUUGGUGUGAAGUACCUUUCUGCUACUUUUUUGAUAUGACUAGCCAUCCUUGCAUCAUUGGGUUCAUUUCUUAUUUUCAGUUUCGUUUGUGAACCUCCAUUACUUCUUUACAUUCUUUUGUAGUUUUGCCUUUGAAAUUUCACCAUCUUAUUAUCAGGAAUCUCCACUUUUUAUUAUGUGACUUUUUCAUUCCCUCCACAUUUUAGACACAUGAAUGCUAGCUUUAUAUCUUCUGUUAGCUCUUUAAUUUUUUAUUAAUUUUGUUUAAACAUGUUAUACCUUUUUACAAAGCCUAUUCACUAUGCUAUUGGCCAUUUUUAGAACUAAUGAAAAUUUCACGCAUUUUUCUCCAAGCAAGUGUUUGAAAUCUGAAGCUGUAUUCUAAAAUUCACUCUUUUUUCUAAGCGCAUGUACCAAGCUUGAAAGAACUUCUGUUUCUGUUGUCACCACAAUAAUGGCAUUAUUUUGUUUCCUUGUUUAUUAUUAUAUAUAGCAGUAACUUUUGUGCACAAAAGCAGAUUACUAUCGGAAAAGUAAAUUUAAAUUGUGCUUCAUCUUUUCUUGUGGUUAUUAAAUACAUCUAUUUUACUUUCUACAGGAUGCUUGGCAUUGUGGCAUUUGUGGUUCUAGAUCAGGAAAAGGAUUUGGUUAGUUGAUUCGUUGCUUUUACUUAAUUUUAUUUAUAUAUAUAGAGGAUCUGGUUAAUUGAUUCAUUACUAGUACUUUCUGACGGCUAAAACAUUAUAUUUUGUUAUGCAGAUAUAUUUAAUUGUGUUGUAACUUUGUUAUGCAUGUAUAAUGUUAUAGAUACAGUUGUGUUGUUUACACUUUCUUUUUGCUUGUAUGUAAUUUAUAAUAUCUUGAAGUUUGAGGGCAUUGUUGGCUCAUGAAAAGUUAUUUUCAGAUUAAAGUUGCCUUUCUAGGCAAUGAUUAUAACACCUAUCCUUACCCACUAUUUAUCUAUACUGUAACUGAUCCAAAUUCUACUAUUGAUAUCCAAAUUCUGCUGUGCUGAGACUCCGACAUGAGACUGGCACGCGAGUUCUCACUGACUAUAUGUAAUUCUGUAAGGUCUUUUGGGUUUUGACUCUUUGAUGACUCUUACUGACUAUCACACUGAGUGCUAUAUCUAUCAAAUAUAUACAUGCUACUUAAGUCAACAGUAUGCUAAUGCAUUCUAGAAGAAAAUUUAUCAGUUCUAGUUGGUCUUUUACCUUUUCAUGUCGAUUAUAUAUGGCAUAUGGAUACCCUUUAGGCUACUUAACGUGCAGAUCACUUUUGUUAUGCUCAACUUUGCUUACUUUGUAAUCUGACUUUUGGCUCAUUUUUAUGUGAGUAUUCAGUAUAUCUUCUGGGAAGUUGCUAGUCAUUGAAAUAUGAUUUCUGUUUCUUUUGCUGACAGAGGCUACCUGUGAAACACUUCCUCGGCUUUUUCAAAUUAAAUUUGAUCAUGACGUUAUUGAUGAACAUUUAUUCCUCGACAUGCCAAAUGAAUACAUGUUGUCCGGGUUGCUAGUGUUGGAGUAUGCAAAAGCUGUUCAAGAGAGCAUUCAUGAACACCUACAUGUUGUUCGUGAGGGACAACUUCGAAUUACAUUCACGCCAGAAUUGAAGGUUUUCAUUCUAAUAAUGCUUUAGUACUUUCCCACCUGGCAUUAGUUAGAUUGUCAUGCUGUUCAUUUUACAAAUUUAGCUUUAAGGUGUUCUUGUCAUUUAACACAUAUAUAUAUAUGUCACUCAGAUAUUGUCCUGGGAAUUCUGUGUACGACGCCAUGAAGAGUUCCUCUCUCGGAGGUUUAUAGCUCCUCAGGUAUUGAGAGAAACUUAUAGAAAUAAGAUUUCUUUACUUCCAACUAAUGCAUAUCGCUACUUAACAAACCGUCCCCGCUUAAUAAUAAGAAAAAUUGAAAAAUAAAUAAUACGAAAGAGUAUCAUUUUGCUUUCCACUUCAGCAUCUAUUAAGGUUUCAUUUUCUUUGCAAUUGUUAUUCUUGAAUGCUUUCCAGAAUUGAGUUGCAUUUAGAUGAGGGGGAACAAUAAAGCUGUAAACUUACUAUUGAAAUCUUAAAUUGAAAUUAGAAGAUAUGAUGUCGUUACUCAUCCAUUAUGCUCUUCCUUUUUGUAUUUCAUUUUGUUGUUUGAUUAUAUUAACUUGUUUAUUAUCGAGUUAUUAAAUAUAAGGAUUCAUAUAGUUAAAUUUUAGGGAAAACUUCAAAAACCCCUCCUGUGGUUUCAUAGUUUCUCACUUUGCCCCCCUGUGGUUUAAAAUGUAUCAAUUUGCCCCCCUGUUGUUUCUUUUUUCUCUUUUUCUUAUCAAUUUCAUUAUUUUUUUUUUCUUAAAUUAUUGAUAAAGUUAAAAUUAAAGGGUACUAAAGUGAAUAUUUGAUAAAUCUAGAUGGGUAUCUGAAGUUUUUGUAUAUAAUUUAAUAAAAUAUUAAUGAAAAAGCUACCGAAAAGAUAAAAACGAAACCACAGGGGGGCAAAUUGAUACAUUUUAAACCACAGGGGGGCAAAGUGAGAAACUACGAAACCACAGGGGGGGUUUUUGAAGUUUUCCCUAAAUUUUACUUUCAACAAGUGGAAUUAUUUGAUGCUUAUGUCUUUUGGUAUUUUGAUGAAAGUGGAUUUUAGUGUUGAAUCAAUGAUGGCCUGGUGCUUAUAUUGUGGGUUUCUCACAUAAUAGUAGAGACUUCUCUACUAAACUUCUAUCUUUGCUAUGGUUCACAAAAUGGCUAUUACACAAGUUGGUUCUGGAUAAUCUAAAAAUCAUUUAAUUCCUUGAGAGGCGUGACAAAGGAAAUAUACAUUUAUUAUGCUGAUGUUCCCUUGUUUUUGCGACUUUCUGGUAUUUCAAAGCAAUUAUGAGGUAGAAAAACAAAUCGUUUUUUUUUUUUUUUUUUUUUUUUUUUUUGCAACAAUGAUAUCAUCAUCAUGAGUAGUUAAAGUUUGGCUCUGUGUAUGCUGGUAGUUCGUUAAUCUUCUAAGGUGCCUCUUCUCCUUUUUUUUUUUUUUUGUGUGUGUUGUUUUGAGUGUUUAACAAGUGUAGUUUGCUUUUCAAAAAUAUUCUCAACUUUUAACCCAUGCUCAUAAAUUACUAAAUCUAAUAAAUUUGGUGUUUUGGAUAAAUCAUUACAAUCUUAUUUUAGUAUGUUGCAUGAAGUUAUUCAUUUGUUCCACCUAUGCAUGCUUAUUCCUUUGGAUGUUGUAAUAAGUUUUACAAUUCUUAUGUUUUAUGUGCAGGUGAACCAGCUCUUGCAAGUUAGCCAGAAAUAUCAAAAUGCUGUCAAAGAUAGUGGAUCAGCUGGAAUCUCACCGCAAGAUUUGCAAGCCAGCUGUAACAUGUGAGUAAACUUACGAUUUGUGUUCAGUAUUUUAGAUAUGGGGUGUGAAAAAAGAGAAGGGAUGAGACUUCAAUCCUCUGCGUGCACUAUUGUAUUUGUUUGUUCUCUUUGGUUUUUUUUUGUGCAUUUUUUCUAUUAAUUUCUCUUGUUCCCUCCUUCCCCUUCUAUCUUUAUGAUGGAUCUUUUGCUUUCACUUCUUUAUUCUAAUCUCUUUUUAACUUCUCUUCUUUUUUAUUUUUUUUGUUUCCUUCCUUGUUUACUCAGUUGCUCUUAGACUUAAGUUUCUUUUGCUCGUAUACUUAUUUUAUUAUGUGUUUUUUAAUUUUAUAUUCUUAUCUUUGAUUUUUGAAAUCGAAACCUAUAGUAUCAUUACUGUUCUUUUUUUUUUUUCAACAGAAAAAAGUUUCUUCUUUUCUUUUCUUUUUCUCUCAUGUAAGUUGUUUUAUUUUUUAUGCAUUUAGCCUUUUUUUCUCUUUUUAUUUUUCUUUUGCCUUUUGAGUUUCAUAAUUGUUACUUUAUCUUAUCAUAAUCCCAUAUUCCCAUAAUGCUAGUUGAUGGUGCUUGUUUACCUAAAUUGGUAAAUAUGUUUUUUGUUCUGGAUGAAAAACUAUUUGGGAUUCUAAUUUAUAAUUUUCAUGCCACUUAGUUUUGAGGUGAUUGCUAAAACACGCAGUUUGAGGUAGUAGAGUAAGUUGUAUAAUAAGUUAGGGUGUCAAGGAAUUCUUUUUUGUAUUUCAAAUUGUAUGAUGUAACUAGUCGAUUGAUUUCGAGCAACUGUAUAAGUUCAGGGUAUCAAGGAAUUGCUUUUUUGUAUUUCGUACUGCAUGUUGUAAACUAGUCAAUUCAUUUUGAGCCAACUUAAAUCUCUUUGAUUCUUUUUUAACAGUUUUGCAAAUAAUUCAAGAAAGAAUUGCAGGUAGUAGUAGGCAGCUCGUCAAAUGAGCUUAUCUAGGAAUCUCUAGUGUUUUUAAUUUCCUAAGGAAAUUUUAAAUAUACUUGGAAUUUUGUUGUUAUGCCAGUUGUUUGUUUUGAUUAUCAUAUGUUGAGCCUGAUUUAUUAUAGAAAUGUUUUGCUCUGUUAGUUUCUUCUGUAAAUAGUAUUAUUUUUAUGGUUUGCAUUUCGCAGAAACAUCUUUGGAAUCUAUUUUCAUUUUGUUGUUUAACUUGACUAAGUUGCUUUAAUCUGACAGUCAUUUUUUCUUCAUUACACAGGUUUGUAGCUGCAGGUCGUCAACUUGCUAAAAGUCUCGAACUCCAGUCACUGAAUGAUUUAGGUUUUUCUAAACGAUAUGUACGGUGCUUGCAGGUACUUGAGAUUUCCUUUCUGACUGUUUAGUUCACAUUUUUAUAUUAGACCCAACUGUUAAUAUCACUGAAUUCUAUUAUGCGUAUCGGCAGAUAGCGGAGGUGGUAAAUGGCAUGAAAGACCUGAUUGAUUUUGGCCAGGAGCACAAGAUUGGACCCAUAGGUUUGAAAUCUGCGCUCUUAAUUCCAUUUAUUGUUGUUAAUCCGCAGUUGAUGUGAGAGCUUCUAUUACUGUAAGAUCCUUCAAUAUUUUUAUGAGUUUUAAGAUGUAGUAUGUGAUAUUCAUGCAGUUAUCCACUGCAUAGUGCAUAUGCGGUAUGCAGGCGCAUAUGAGGUCCAACUAUUAAAAUAUUAAAAAAAAUAUUUAUAGGUGCUAGAAAUAUAUAUAAAUAUUUUUUGACAAAGCUAGAUAACUAAAGUAACAAUUCAGAAUUCACAAAUUCAAAUAAUUAAUUUUUAGUAACGGAUACGUACACACUAAAGUAAUAAUGUACCAUUUACUCUUAAUUAUUAAAUAGAGAGAGAAAUAGGAUUUCUAUGCAAAAUCAUAAAAAUGUCAAACAAGAAUCAAUGUUCUAAAAGACGGUAUGCUAAAUUUCUAUAAAGAAUAAUUAAAAUUUUCAAUAAACUGUCUUUCGCGUUAUUUGACAGAUCGACACUUAAAUAAAAAAAAAUGUAUACUAUGAAUCUAUGAUAGAAUCUAACAACUACAAAAUUAUUUAGCAAUAUUUGUAAACAUAAAUAUUAGAUAUAUUAGGAAUAAUAUCUAUUAAAAUAAAAGGAAAGAUAGUUAGGUUAUAUUUAUAUAAAGAUAAUUGAAUUUGUAUGCAUAAUUAUUAAUUUAUAUGAAAACAUCAUAUGUAUUUGUAUAAUCAUUUAGCAAGCAGGCACAUUCAACAUUGCAUUUCAAUUCCACCUUAAAUAAAAAAAAUACUGCCGCAUAUGCGUCUGACUACAUACCAAUGUUCCAAAAUGCGGUCUGCGUUAUUCAUGCGGUUCCCACUGCAGAGCGCAUAUGCAGUAUGCAGGUGCGUAUACGGAUGCAUAUGCAGCCCAGGUGGUAAAUAUUUAAAAAUAUUUAUAGGUAUUAAAAUUAUAUGCAAAUACUUCCUAGCAAAGCAAAAUAAUUGAAGUAAUCAAUCAGAAUUCACAAACUGAAAUAAUCAAUUUCAAGUAAGACCUCGUAUGCACACAUGUACCAUUAAAUUAAUAAUUAGCAAUGUGCUCUUAAUUAUUAAAUAGAGAAAUAAAUAGAACUUUGACGCAAAAUUAUAAAAUUGUCAAAUAAAAAUCAAUAUUCAAAAAAGUAGUAUGCUAAAUUUUUAUGAAGAAUAAUAUUUUUUUCAAUAAGCUAUCAUUCACGUCAUCUGGUAGGCCAAUACUUGAAAAGAAAUAUCCAAUUACAUCUUACAACUACAAAAUUAUCCACUAAUAUUUUUAAAUAUAAUUAUUAUAUAUAUUAGGGACAAUGCCUACUAAAAUAAGAAGAAAGCUAGUUAUAUUAGAACUAGGCUAGAAUACUAUUAAUAGCAGUUGAUGCUACUAAGUUUUCGGUCCUUGGAUAAAGUGAUGUGCGGUUAGGAUGAUAGUGGUCCCUUAGGGUUGAGUGGUUGGUUGGUUGGUUGGUUGAAUUGUAUGAUCUAAUGGGUAUAAAUUAUCAAAAGGGUAGAUCUAACAGCAGAAAAUUUGGUAGCAUCAAGAGUUUGCUGCCAUCGAUAGCAUUGUAGCCAGACUCGUUAUAUUAUACUUAUAAAAAGAUAAUUGUAUAUUUAUGCAUUCUUAUUAACUAAACAUGUCUGAAAAAUAGAUAUUUAUACGGAAUUGGGCUAGAAUACUAUUAAUAGUAUUCGGUUGCUAUCGAGUUUUUAACCCUUGGAUGAAAAUUUGUAGGGUUAGGAUGAUAGCGGUCCCCUAAGGUUUAGUAGUAGUCCCCCUAGGGUUGAGUGAGUGGUUAGUUGAAUAGUAUGAUCUAAAGGAUGAAAUUGAUUAAAGUGUAGAUCUAACGGCUAAAAAAUCGAUAGCAAAAGAGCCCAAAUACUAUUAAUAGUAUUCCAGCUCAACUCUAUUUAUAUGUAUAAUUAUUAAGCAAACAAUACUCUAUUUGUAUGUAUAAUUAUUAAGCAAACAAUCUCAUUCAAUAUUGCCUUUUAAUCCCACCAUAAAAAUAAAAAUGCUGCAUGUGGUCGGCUACCUUUAUGCCACCGUAUAUGUCGCCACCUGCCACAUCUGGGCGGGCAUAUGCGGUCGGACUGCAUAUUAUAUAUGCGGUGUGGUUGUUGGUCCAAACCGCCUAUGCGGCUGCAUAGACUGCUUUUUUGGAACAUCGCAGGAUACUGCACUGCAUAUUACUUGUGUGGUGUGGUUGAUUGUCCGAACUACAUAUGCGGCUGCCUUUUGAAACAAUGCAAACAAGAAACAAUAAAAGUCUGUAGAAAAGCUUGGAGAGUACUUAUUACCUCGUUCGCAAAACCUAGUUUUUAUUUAUCAUGAUAUUUCUUUUUUACAAUCAACGAACCUAUUAGAGCUUAUGUAGGUUCUAGCUUUGUCCCCUCCAUGCUCCUUGAAUUCUGAUUUUGUUUCCCGACUUUUGGACUACUAGUUUUCAGGGCCUCAUUUGGUAUUAUUGCCGUCUCUGGUCUUUUUUAAGCACAAGUUCCAUGCACUAGGGUGUGCAGGUUGAUGUGGACCUUUAACUUAGCAGUAAGUAGUAACUUUUCUUCUUCUUUGUAUUUGACGCUGUUCCCUAUCCUGUUGGGGGUUGCUUUUCGAGAAACAAAAAAAAUCGGCAAUGGUACCAAAUGUAGAUGUAAUUAGCCAUUUUAUCAAGUAUUUCAGAGACGAUUAUUAGUACUUGUUGAAGUACUUGGUAUUGCUAUUCUCCUUAUUAGCUAUACUGUGUUAAUAAUGCGGUUGAAGCAUUAAAAACUAUGCAUCUGCACGCUAAAAAAAACUAUGCAUCUGCACGCUAAAAUCUAUGCAUAUGUACAGUGGAAUAAUUUCACCUUAGGUACUUUCCUGUUUGCUACAGAAUAUGCUCAUUGAUUUCUGAAAUAUUUUGGAUAAGAAAUUGCUUAAUAGAAGUUUUAUGUAUUCUGUAUAAACUAAUUUGUCUUCGUAAGCCUCAUUCAUAGCUCGUCAUCUUGGAGGGAUAGAGGUAUCAAGAAUUAUACUGUCCUCUGCAAAUGGUAAACUUCGCAAGCAUUGUUAUUCACAAGUUUAGGAUAUAGAACCUGUUUAAGUUGUGUAAUUUACAGCUCGUAUGCUCGAGUACAAAUCAAUUUCUGAAGGAAUUCAUUAUAUUUAGCACAAGGACUUACAAAUUGGAUUCUAUUCAUAGUGGCUCUUUCAAUUACUUUCGAAGCAUUUGUAUCUAUUUCCAUCAUCAAGAGGCAGCUAUUUGUUCUUCUAGAUGAAGAAAAGAGGAUUUUUUGCAUUCAAAUGUGUCAUCAUGACUUCUCUUUUUCUUCAUAUUUAUUUCUGUUUUAUUUGUUUUGCAGAGAGCUUGAAGAGCUACACAGCGCAGGCCGCUGCGAAGCUCCAGGCCCAAAAGUUACAGGCAGCAGAGCAGCUGAGGACUCCUAACGGCCUUUCCGCCGACCCGAGCACCCUUAGUAAACUCAUGAGCAUUCACCAUCAUCCAGGAAUGUGCGCACAUAUCAUCAAUGGCAACCUCACAAACACUCAACUCAACAGUAACAACAACACACUGGAACGAACUGCGAUGAUGAACAAUAGCUAUCAGAACUUACUGAGAAACUCUAUGAGCAAAAACCAGAACCUACUUCAUCAGGAACUGCCCAACGGCUUCAAUGGGCCUAUUAACCAAUCACAGCCUGUGAGCCACUACCGCACCUCUGUCUCUCCCGUCUUGUCAAAUAACUUAUUCGGUCAGUUUCCACAGCAGCCUCCUAUGAACAGUGGUAACUUGCCGCAGAACAAUAAUAACAUGCAGCAGCAAGUGAUUCAGCAGAUGCUGCAAGAUGGUAUGAAUAAGAACCGGCCAGAAAUGCAGCAGCCUCCCGCCACCUCUGUUCACAACAAUAACGGACCGGUGAAUGCCGGGCCGGCAAAAAGCACCACGGAGUCGGGGAAUGCUCCGAGCAACAUAAGCAACAGCGCUGUCGGUGCAGGACCUACCAGGAGCAACAGUUUCAAAUCUGCCCCCACAGAGACCGCUGUCGCGGGAAGCAGUGUUAGCUCGAGACUCGAAUUGCCCCAGAAUGUGGAUCUAGCGGAGCUGGAUCAGAUUGUGCGGGAGUUUGGAGAAGGCGGGAUGUUUAGCGGCGACAUAGCUGACUUUGGGUUCGAUUGGAAAGUUUGAAAGGUUUUAUGUAGUUUGGUUUGAGGCUUGGUAAAGAAAAUAUUUGUAUAGAAUAGCUACUAUUUGUACCAGUGGAUCUGAUCUGAUUUGUCUAUUGUAUGGCAAGGUGGUACUCUUCAAGUUGAUCUACGUAGGCAGUUUUGAGAUUUCGCAGUUAAAUAACGUUAGUUUUUACUACAACUAAAAUUGUAUAAUAUCAGGGACUAGGCUUUGAAAUGAGCAUCUAUUAUAUCAAGUAACGUUUCGAGGCGUGAUUCUGCUUUAAUCUCUUCUUCCUAGUUGUCUGCCUUGCCGGAAAAUUCUCUUGAUUGAUUUUGUUUGUCUCUGAAAACUCCCAAACCAAACUUGAGAGAACUCUGUAGGUGGUCUCCGAGUCUAAAUAAAAAAGAAAACUGUGGCAUAUAUUUAAUAUAAUACUAUAUAAUAGUAUUCAAGCCUAGGCAAUGACAGAUUUUUUCUUUUUUUUUUCCUUUUUGAGAGAAAGAUAGUAGUAUGCUUUUUGCUUUGUUUAUUUUUUUUUAAAAAUAAAGUUAGCUGAAAAUAUGAAUCAAUUAGAAUUCGAAUUCGAGACCUCAGCUAUCAAUCACUAAACUCUUUGUCAUUUACACUAGAGUCAGUGCAACCACAGGAAAAUUAAGCUCACAGAAGUAUGGUUGGUGGGGGGUUAACAUUCUUAGUAUUAAGGUUUUUCAUUUUUUGGAUAGCUAGUUAGGAAUAUAUGAGAAUAAGUUCAAAAUUGUGUUUGGUUAAAAACUUCUCUUAUUCUUAAGAAUUAGUUAAUAAAAUAUUUGAUAGAUAUCCCAAAAAUAAUAGAAAAUAAUGAGAAAACUAUAUAUAUAUAGAGAGAGAGAGCUAAACUGGAAUACUAUUUAUAGCAAAAGAUUUUUUUUGCUAUCAAGUUUGUAAUCCUUAGAUGAGAAAUUGUAGGGUUAGAAUGAUAUUAAUCCUUAGGGUUGAGUGAUCCCCACUGGAUUAUAAUAUUUAAUCCAAUGGUGAGAAAUGAUGAAAGCAAUUAACUCAAAGGUUAAAAACUUGAUAACAAAAAAUACUUUUUGCUAUCAAUAGCAUUCUAGCCCAACUAUAUAUAUAUAUAUAUAUAUAUAUAUAGAAUUAAGCUAGAAUACUUUUAAAAGUAUCACCCCAUUGGUGCUUUUAGGUUUCUAGCCCUUGGAUCUACUCCUUGAUUACUAAUAGCCAUUGGAUCAAAUACUAUUCCACCUACGACCACCUACGACCAUCUACCACCAUCAUCACAACCUUACAUUCCUCCAUUCAAUGGUAAAAACUCAAAAGCACCAUCUCAUUGGUGCUUUUGAGAGUAUUCUAGCUCAACUCUCUCUCUCUCUCUCUCUAUAUAUAUAUAUAUAUGAGGCUGGUAUGCUUCUGGAAGGAUGGAGCGCUCCGUGCUUCCAUAUCGUUUUUGAUGUUGGGACUUUUGAAUCGACGAUCAGCUCCGUUAGACUUGAUAUAGAGUAUUUUAAGUAUCUAGAAAAUAAAUUUUGUAAUUUUUUAUAUCAUUCGCCUAAUGAUCGAAGUGGCUCAAAAUCAACGGCUGAAAAUAAAAAUCUUACAAAAUAUGACGAUAUGACAUUAAAAUUUUAGAUCAAAAAUAUUUUUACCCGCUUUGUUUAUUUCAUUUAGAAAUAAACUUAGCUGGAAAUGUGAACCAACUAGGAUUCGAACUUGGGUCUCGGGUAUCAACCACCAACCCCUUUGCCACUUGCUCUAGGGACGGUCGAUUUUAGAUCAAAAUUAUUGAUCUUGUUUUAUAUAGUAUAAAAAAUUUUCUAUCAAAAUUUCACGUGAUUUGAAUAUUUCUACACCGUUAAACUUGCAAAUGGCUCACCAUGGCUAUUAAAAUGAUUGAUUUUGAGCCCCUUCGAUCACUAGGCAAAUGAUAUCGAAAAAUUACAAAAUUUAUUUUCUAGGUUGUCACGACCCGGCGUUGCUAAUUUGGACAGCUCGGGCCCGAAACAGACCCGCUGAACGGACAGAGUUUCUCCUGCCUGCCCAAGGCGUAACAAAGUCUAUGCAUACAUAUCCAAGUAAGAGAUAUUAGUAUCAAACAUUUACGAGAGGCAUAUCGCAUAUGCAAGAGAAUUUAAACUAUCUAUUACAAUAUUUGCACAUUUACAUUGUUUAACUUAUUACAACUUUUCUUUACAUACAAAAUAAUAACCUCACAUACAUACAUAUCACUUUUCUUUCUCAAAAGCUUUUACAUGUUUUUUUCUUUUCUUGCUUGCUAUGCACAAGGGUAGAUGAUCUAGCCCCGAGGUCCCGCUAUCUAGGGCUCGAUGCCCUUGCCGCGAUCCUCGACGAAUGCGCUCGUGCUUGGCUCUGCAAAAUAGGGUAUGAGAACUAAACAAAGUUCCCAGCAGAUUCGGCUGUCGACCCUGCCAAUUUUCUCACUAAGUCUAAGAAGGUAUAGAGACAAGAAUAUGUCACUAUGACAAAGAAAUAAUGAAUAGAAACAAUAAGCCUAACUUGCUCAUCAUAUACAAUUAUAUCAUGCUUCAAUGAUAUCUACUAUGCCUUUACCAAAAACAACAUAUCAAUGUUCUACUAUGUAUGCAUCAUAUAUGAAAUGUCAUUACCAUGCCUUGAUCCAAAUCCAAUCGGUUCGCCCAAGGGUCAAACCACAACUCGCCACACACUAUCACCUCUGUGACCGUCUGUCGGGGGCGCACCGUCGUGACUCUCUUCCCCAUCUCAAUCUAAUUGUGACAUUCCGGAGCUCACGGCUUGGGAGUCGCGACCUCCACAAGCCGCAACAGACAACGCGAGUAUGAUCAAGUCCUCCCGCCCGAGGACCUCGGGAAUCCCACAUCCCAAAUAAUCACAAGGCAUGCAAUGCUCAACAUCGGCCACAUAUGCAAUAAUUUUCAACUCUCAUAGUGUCAUAAAUCUACAUAUCUAGUUCAUAUGAAUCUAGCAUGUUCUCACAACAUAUCCACAUGCGUAUGUCCACUAGCAUCUCAUUCAACAUACAUAUAUACAUCUAUCUCGACAUCAUGCAAAUAAAUACACCUACAAGUAUCAUGCAACAUGAAUCAUCAUUUCUCAUACUAAAGUAUGAAUUUAACAAAAACUCAUAGGUUUACCAACACAAUAUCAAUGCAUGAUGCUACAUGACCAAUAUGUAGAACUUAGACAUAAAAUGAAAUUCGGCUAAUUCGAAUAGCACCCCCCACUUUGAGUCGACGUCACAAAGUGGGAAAGCCAAGCUGUGCGAUUUAUCUUCGUCAAUUUCAUCCGACUGCGGCAAACGAAGCAAAAACGGGGUUUUCUCCAAAUUGACCACCGUAAGCUCAACGAGACUCAAUCUACGUAGUCCACUGCAUCGGUUUUACCUUCAAUUGCGGAAACAUAGGACCAAUUAAGAUCAAAACCCAUUUUAAUCAAAAGCCCUCUUUUGAAACCCUAGAAUGCAAAAUAUCCAAAACUCUCUAUGAUUUAUGCAAUAAUCUAGGUUGGAAUCAUAUAGGGUUUCCAUUUAUCACACUUCUAAGGCUUUACACCAAAACCCUAACUUAAAACCUCCAAAUCUUACAAAACUCACCUCAAACCAAAGCUCUCCUCCAAGCCAAGCUUGCACGAGAGGGUUGCUUCACCUUCCAAGCAACCUCCUCUUCACUUCUUGGAGCAAACCCUAGAGAGGGAGUGAGAGGUUUAGAGAAAGAAAGAGAAGUUUCUCUUAGGUUGUGGUGUGAAGGGAAUGAGAGGAGAAAGGGUCAAGAACCCACUUAUAAACUUUCCCACAAGCAUAAUUACACCUUAGCCCUUCACACAACUGAGUUUGGCUCAACCCAAACUUUGCGUGUUCGGGGUCCGGAUCCUACAGCCAGGGUCCGGACCCCGAGAUCAUUUCCAGCUCAAACAGCUUGGAAUUUUUCCAACUUGUUCUCCAAGGUCCCAAACACUAGUUUAACUAUUUCGAAGCACUCGGAACAUUUAACGAACCUCUCCAAAUCGUCCAUUAUCACACUUCGGUCAAUUUGACUAAAGUUUGGCAUGGCGCACUGGGGAUUCAGUACACUACAUAGGUACUUCAAAUACUCUAGAUCAAGUUUAACGGAGCCGAUCGUCAAUUCGAAAGUCCUAACAUCGAAAACGACUUGGAAGCACGGAAGGCUCUGUGCUUCCAAAAGCAUACCAACUCACUAUAUAUAUAUAUAAACAAUACAAAAUAAAAUAAUAUACUUUAACAGAGUCCGGCUACAAUAUGGGCAAUAGCACCAACCACUUAAUGCUAUCAAGUUUUUCACCGUUAGAUUUACCCCUUUGAUCAUUUUCAUUCGUUAGAUUAUACUAUUCAACCAACCACCCACUAAACCCAAGGGACCAUUAUCAUCCUAACCACACAUCUCUUCGUUCAAGGGCCGAAAACCUAAUAGCUCUAAUAACUUGGUGCUAUUAAUAGUAUUCUAGCCUAAUUCUACUUUAACAUAUUAUACACUAUAAUACAUGCUAUUUUAUUUAUUUCAUAAUAAUAGUAUUACUUCUGGUACUAACAACAACAAUAAUAAUAAAUAUUAUUAUUACUAUUAUUAUUAUUAUUAUAAAAUAUAAAUAUAAGAAAGUAAAAUAAAUAUUAUUUUAUUAUUAAUUAUUUUUAUUUUUAUAUUUAUUUUAUUUAGCUAAGUAUAAGCAUGAUUAUCUCUUUCUCUUUUUUUUUUAAUUAGUUAGAUAUAAGGAUGAAAAUAGCUUUAUUACAUUAAAAAGGUGAAAUAGUUGUUUUCAGGUUAUUCUAGGAUUACCUAUAAUAAUCUGGUUUGACCGGAAUCGCUGUUCUAACCAUUUUUUUAAGGCGUUUGGUAAAAUAACGAGGAUAAAUUUUGUUUUUUCUAGUUUAUUCCCGUACCAAACAUGCAUGAAGGAUGUGGGGGUUGAAAGGAAAAUAGGAACAAGUCAUUUAUUUGAAGGAUGUGGGGGUUGGAAUGGGUAUCUCACUUGGUGUGAGGAAUUGACAUUUUGAUUUUUAUUCCUGAGGAGAAUCAAAUCCCCCAAAAUGAUUUCCAAUAUGGAGUUGGGAACCAGCUUUGAUUCUGAAAGACAUUGAGAAAAUAACUUUUUUUCACCAUCAAUUCUUUAUCUUCAAAAUAUUUAAUCUAUAUUCAACUUUCAAAUUAAUAAAUUCUAAAUAUAAAAUUGAAUUUGAAUGAUGAAUUCAAAAUUUAAUUUUUAAUUACUUAAGUUUAAAUGCAAAUUGUAAUACAAGUUUGAUAUUUUAAAAUUAUUUCUAAAUUCAAACUUUUGACUUUGAACAUGAAUUUGUAUUGUAAAUUUAAAUUUGAAGUUCAAAUUUUGUGAUUCAAAUAUUGAUUACAAGUUUGCAUAGUAGAUUUAAAUUUUAAAUAAAAUUUUGAUUCUUCGAAUUUUAAUUUGAAUAUGAUUCUGAUUCCGAUCCUUCUUGUGAAGCAAACAAAUUAGAGUUUUCAUCGUUCCGUUUUCGAUUUUUGUCCAUUUUCAUUCCUAUUCCUAUUUCGGUUCCUAUUUUCAACCUAAUAUGCGCUUAAUUAAAGUAAUUACUAAAAUCACACACCCAAUUUUCAAACAAGUAGAACAGCUAAUGUCGAAUCGCAUUGCAGGUAGAACAGCUAAUGUAUAGCAAGAAAGGUUUCCGUUAAGAGGUAGUCAGAUAGAAUUUGUAACUAACAAUUCUAUUCAGCAGCGCAAAAGACAUAAGAUUGUAUUUGCAUUUUUAAUGUACGAUAGAUAUGUUUGAUUUGAUGUUAGUAUUUUAUAUAGAAUAUUUGUUAUGGAGAAAACUUUAUCAUGCUUGGCCUUUGUUCGGCGAAAAUUGUUAGGCCGAAUAGUUAAAAGUAUCAAAAAAAGAAAAAACUUUGAAUUUUAUUAUUAUUAUUAUUUUUGAUUAAACAGGGAUGAACCCUAUUUACAGAAGCGUUUAGACGAAAACCGAGUAAUGAUACCCGAGCACACCCCCAUGCACGAUACAGAGAAUAUCCCAAUCUCACCCUCGGCACUAGCUCUAACAAAGCAGAUCCCGAGCACACCCCCAGACAAAAACACAAGCACACUAGCACAAUUAAGCACAACUAGCACACCUAUAACCUAGUUGACAGAGGUAAAGAACACCAUUUUCCAAUAAGAUACAGUUUGAAGAAUGUUUGAACCCAGUGUCUCGCUCGUAGCGGAUUCGACGAUUGUCGAAUAGUCUUCUAUUACGCUCCUUCCAGAUCUCCCAAUAGGCUGCUGCGAUUCCGAGGUCGAGAGUGGUUCGAAUUUCACCUGAGACCGUUUGCCGCAAUCGACGCCAUCGUGUUGCAAGUCCUUCAGUUGUGUUGCUUGCUUCUCCAAUCUAGGUUGAAAGUGAGUCUAUUCGUUAACCAAUCCCACACAGAAACUGCAUAGAAGCAGUAAUGCAUAAUAUGCUCGACGGACUCCGCAUCGGAGUGGCAGAGGGUGCAAAAGACAUAAUAUGCUUCGUUUAUUUCAUUUAGAAAUAAACUUAGCUGGAAAUGUGAAUCAACUAGGAUUCGAACAUGGGCCUCGGGUACCAACCACCAAGCCCUUUGCCACUUUUCUCUUCAGACGUAUUUAUAAUCUCUCAAAUCCAACUUCGAAUCCUACAAAACCUCGGCCAAAUUUCGAAAUGUUCUCUUGCAGUUCUCUUUUUCCCUAUCAUGAAUGACUGAGAUCGUUUGAUGUAACAGUUUAAACUUUUUCCUUCCUUCUGAUUCAAGUUUGUCUAUCUUAUUAAGCAGUAACGGUUCAGGUCAGCUUGCGUCUUAGAAAUCCUGAAUUUUCAUGUCAACAAUGCCCCCCUCAUCGCCUGAAAACGAAUUUUGAACUCGGCAGGAUUCAAAAAACAUACAGAAAUGUUCAAUGUAUAUGUAAAAUAUUUGAUUAUAUAAUUAAAAGUGAAUUAAAAUUUCGAUACUUUUAAUCUAAAACACAUACUUAAAUUUUGAGUUCGUUAAAGCUUGAAAAAUAUAUAGAAAUAUUAUAUAUAUAUACAGAAUUGAGCUCCUAUGCUUUUAAAAGUACAAAGUCAUUGGUGCUUGUACAUUUGUAGCCUUUGGAUUAAGAGGUACGCAGUUAGGAUCGAUGAUAGUGGUCCCCUAGAGUUGAAUGUGUGGUUGGUUGAAUAGUAUAAUCUAACGGAUAGAAAUGAUUAAAGAGAUAAAUCUAACAGUAGAAAAAUUACAAGCACCAAGUGCUUGGUGCUUGUACAAGCACCAUAGCCAGACUCAAUAUAUAUAUAUAUAGAGAGAGAGAGAGAGAGAGAGAGAGAGAGUUCGGCUAGGAUACUAUCGAUGGCACCAAGGGUUUGGUGCUAUCGAGUUUUCCACCGUUAGAUUUAAUUCAUUGAUUAUUUUUACCCGUUAGAUUAUAUUAUUCAACCACCCACCCACUCAUAAGAGCUAAAAAAUUAAUAGCACCAAUAGCUGCUUGGUGCUAUAUAUAUAUAUAUAUAUAUAUAUAUAUAUGAGUAAGGCUACUAUGCUAUCGGAAGCACGGAGUCUUCCGUGCUUCCAGCUCGUUUUCGAUGUUGCGACUUUCGAAUCGUCGAUCGACUCCGUUAAACUUGAUCUAGAGUAUUUAAAGUAGCUAGAAAAUAAAUUAUGCGAUUUUUCGAUAUUAUUUACCUAGUGAAUGAAGGUGCUCAAAAUCAACGGCUGAAAAUAAAAAUCUUACAAAAUGUGAUAAUAUGACAUUAAAAAAUAUCAAAAUCACGUGAAAUUUUGAUAGAAAAUUCUUUAUACUAUAUAAAACAAGAUCAAUAUCUUUGACCUAAAAUUUUAAUGUCAUAUUAUCACAUUUUGUAAGAUUUUUAUUUUAAGCCGUUGAUUUUGAGCACCUUCAUUCACUAGGUAAAUAAUAUCGAAAAAUCGCAUAAUUUAUUUUCUAGCUACUUCAAAUACUCUAGAUCAAGUUUAACGGAGUCGAUCGACGAUUCGAAAGUCGCAACAUCGAAAACGAGCUGGAAGCACGGAAGACUCCGUGCUUCCGAUAGCAUAGUAGCCUUACUCAUAUAUAUAUAUAUAUAUAUAUAUAUAUAUAUAGCACCAAGCAGCUAUUGGUGCUAUUAAUUUUUUAGCUCUUAUGAGUGGGUGGGUGGUUGAAUAAUAUAAUCUAACGGGUAAAAAUAAUCAAUGAAUUAAAUCUAACGGUGGAAAACUCGAUAGCACCAAACCCUUGGUGCCAUCGAUAGUAUCCUAGCCGAACUCUCUCUCUCUCUCUCUCUCUCUCUCUCUAUAUAUAUAUAUAUUGAGUCUGGCUAUGGUGCUUGUACAAGCACCAAGCACUUGGUGCUUGUAAUUUUUCUACUGUUAGAUUUAUCUCUUUAAUCAUUUCUAUCCGUUAGAUUAUACUAUUCAACCAACCACACAUUCAACUCUAGGGGACCACUAUCAUCGAUCCUAACUGCGUACCUCUUAAUCCAAAGGCUACAAAUGUACAAGCACCAAUGACUUUGUACUUUUAAAAGCAUAGGAGCUCAAUUCUGUAUAUAUAUAUAAUAUUUCUAUAUAUUUUUCAAGCUUUAACGAACUCAAAAUUUAAGUAUGUGUUUUAGAUUAAAAGUAUCGAAAUUUUAAUUCACUUUUAAUUAUAUAAUCAAAUAUUUUACAUAUACAUUGAACAUUUCUGUAUGUUUUUUGAAUCCUGCCGAGUUCAAAAUUCGUUUUCAGGCGAUGAGGGGGGCAUUGUUGACAUGAAAAUUCAGGAUUUCUAAGACGCAAGCUGACCUGAACCGUUACUGCUUAAUAAGAUAGACAAACUUGAAUCAGAAGGAAGGAAAAAGUUUAAACUGUUACAUCAAACGAUNAUCAAGUCUAACGGAGCCGAUCGUCGAUUUGGAAGCCGCAUCAUCGAAAACAACUUGGUAGCACGGGAGGCCCCGUGCUACCGAUAAUAUAGCAGCUGGGCUAUAUAUAUAUAUAGUGCAGAGCUACUAUGCUAUCGGAAGUAUAGAGAAUCUGAUGCUUUCAACUUUUUGACCAUUGGAUAAAAAAUUAUACGGUUGGGAUGAUUGCUGGCCCCCCAGGGUUGAGUAAUACCCAUAGGGUUGAGUGGUCCCCAUAGGUUAAUAGUAUUAAUCCAAAGGUUAGAAAUAAUUAAAGGGGUUGAUCUAAGGGCCAAAAAAUCGAAAGCACAAGAUCCUCUAUACUUCCGAUAGCAUAGUAGCUCUACUAUAUAUAUAUAUAGACAGAGAGUGGGCUGGUUUGCUUCUGGAAGUACGGAGCCCUUAGUGCUUCCAAGUUGUUUUCGAUGUUCGGACUUUCGAAUCGACGAUCAGCUCCGUUAGAGUUGAUCUAGAAUAUUUGAAGUACCUAGAAAAUAAAUUUUGUGAUUUUUCGAUAUCAUUUGCUUAGUGAUCGAAGGGGCUCAAAAUUAAUAAUUUUAAUGGCCGUGGUGAGCCGUUUGCAAGUUUAACGGUGUAGAAAUAUCCAAAUCACAUGAAAUUUUGAUAGAAAAUUCUUUAUACCAUAUAAAACAAGAUCAAUAACUUUGAUCUAAAAUUUUAAUGUCAUAUCAUCAUAUUUUGUAAGAUUUUUAUUUUCAACCGUUGAUUUUGAGCCACUAAGAUUUUUAUUUUCAGCCGUUGAUUUUGAGCCACUUCGAUCACUAAGCAAAUGAUGUCGAAAAAUAGCAAAAUUUAUUUUCUUGAUACUUCAAAUACUCUAGAUUAAGUCUAACGGAACCGAUCGUCGAUNUAUAUAUAUAUAUAUAUAUAUAUAUAUAUAGAAUUAGGCUACUAUACUAUCUAUAGUACCGGAGCUCCGGUACUAUAGUCUUGUUUUCGAUCUUAGGAUGUUCAAAUUAAUGAUCCACACCGUUAAAUAUGAUCGAGGAUAUAUAAAGUUUUUAGGUAUAAAAUUUUAGUUUUUUUCGACAUCGUUUACUUAGUAAAUAAAUUAUGUCAAAAUGGACGGUGGAAAUUGAAUAAUAUUUAAAAAUUAAGCAUAGGACUUUUAAAUUCGAGAUCAAGAAUGUUAACCAUAAUCUAGAUAGUUUAAAGUAUUUUCUAUCAAAAUUUGAAGAGAGAAAUUUAGAUUCUUCUACACCCUUAAACUCCAAACUCACCAUAGUAGCCAUUGAAAAUUGACAAUUUUGAAAUGGUUUGAUCAUAAAGUAAACUAUGUCGAAAAAAUAUAAAAUUUUAUCUAAAAAUUUUAAAUACCCUAGAUUAGUUUUAACGGUAUGGAUCGCUGAUUUGAACACCCUAAGAUAAAAAACGGGGCUAUAGUACCGGAGCCCCGGUGCUAUAGAUAGUAUGGGAGACUAGCUCUCUCUCUAUAUAUAUAUAGUAGGGUUACUGUACUCUUAUGAGUAUAGAAUAUUUCAUACUCAUAAGUUGAUUUCGAUGAUGGAGCUCCUGAAUCGACGAUCCACUCCGUUAAAUAUGAUUUAGAGUAUUUGGAACUUCUAGAAAAUAAAUUUCGUAAUUUUUUGAAAUCAUAAUAAAGUCCAUCACGUGGGUAUAAAAUAAACAGUCAAAAUCGAAUGACGUCCUAAAAAUAAAUGAUCGGAUCCUUCAAUUUAAGAUCGGAGUGAUUGAUCUUUAUCUAGGUAGUGAAUAGAAUUUUCUAUCAAAAAUUCAACUGAUUUUGAUUCUUUUGCACCGUUAAACUACCAAGUAUCCCAUACCAAUCGUUACAAAUUAUCAAUUUUGUGGCCUUUUGAUCGUAAGGUAAAUGAUGUCGAAAAAUUAUAAAAUUUGAUUUCUAGAAAUUUUAAAUACUCUAGAUAACGUUUAACGGUGUGGAUCGUCAAUUCGAACGCUCUAUCAUCGAAAACGACUUAUCAGUAUAUAGAGUCCGACUAUACUCUUAUGAGUACGAUCGCGCUCAUUCUCAUAAGUCGUUUUCGAUGAUAGGGCAUUCGAAUCGACGAUCCACACCGUUAAAUGUUAUCUAGAGCAUUUAAAACUUCUAGAAAUCAAAUUUUAUAAUUUUUCGACAUCAUUUACCCUAGAGUCCGGCUACUAUACUCUCAUGGGUACGAUAGCCCUCGUACUCAUAAGUUGUUUUAGAUAAUAGAGCUUCCGAAUUGACGAUCCAUACCGUUAAACAUUAUCUAGAGCAUUUGAAACUUCUAAAAAUCAAAUUUUGUAAUUUUUUGACAUCAUUAACCUACGAUCAAAAGGUCACAAAAUUGACAAUUUUUAACGGCCGGUAUGAGAUAUUUGGUAGUUUAACGAUGUAAAAGAAUCGGAAUCGGUUGAAUUUUUGAUAGAAAAAAUUCUAUUCACUACAUAGAUAAAGAAAAAAUAACUCUGAUCUUAAAUUGAAAGAUCAAAUUAUCCAUUUUUAAGACGUCGUCCGAUUUUGACCGUUCAUUUUAUACCCCGCUUGAUGAACUUUAUUAUGAUUUCGAAAAAUUACGAAAUUUAUUUUCUAGAAGUUUCAAAUACUCUAAAUCAUAUUUAACGGAGUGGAUCGUAGAUUCGGAAGCUCCAUAAUUGAAAACAACUUAUGAGUAUGAAGGGCUCUAUACUCAUAAGAGUAUAGUAGCCCUAUCAUAUAUAUAUAUAUAUAUAUAUAUAUAUAUGAGCUCCUAUGCUUUAAAAGUACCAAGUUACUGGUGCUUGUAGAUUUUUGGCCAUUGAAUUAAGGGAUGUGCGGUUAGGAUGAUGUGGGCCCCCUAAGGUUAAGCGGGUGGUUGGUUGAAUAGUAUAAUUUAACGGUUGAAAAUGAUCAAAAGCGUAGAUCUAACGGUAAAAAAUUUACACAAGUACCAAGUGUUUGGUGCUUGUAAAAGCACCAUAGCCGGACUCUCCCUCUCUCUCUCUCUCUCUCUAUAUAUAUUAUACACUUGAAGUAUCUAGAAAUCAAAUUUUGAAUCUUUUUGACAAAGCAUGAAAUUUAGUUUCUAGGUACUUUAAGUGGUAUAAAUUAUAUUCAACGGUGUCGAUCGUUGAUUUGGAAGCUCCAUUAUCGAAAACAAAUGGGUGGCAACGGAGCCCGUUUGCUAUCGAUAGCAUUCCAACUCAACUCUCUCUCUCUAUCUCUCUAAUAUAUAUAUAUAUAUAUAUAUAGACUCAUAAGAGUAUAGCAGCCCUACUCUAUAUGAGUCCGGCUACUAUACUCUUAUGAGUACGAUCGCCCUCGUACUCAUAAGUUGUUUUCCAUGAUAGAGCUUCCGAAUCGACAAUCCACACCGUUAAACGUUAUUUAGAGCAUUUAAAACUUCUCGAAAUCAAAUUUCAUAAUUUUUCGACAUCAUUUACCUUACGAUCAAAAGCUCACAAAAUUGACAACUUUUAACGGCCGGUAUAGGAUACUUGCUAGUUUAACGGUGGAAAAGAAUCAGAAUAAGUUGAAUUUUUGAUAGAAAAUUUUAUUCACUACCUAAAUAAAGAUCAAUAACUCCGAUCUUAAAUUGAAGGAUCCGAUCAUCCAUUUUUAGGACAUCAUUCGAUUUUGACCGUUCAUUUUAUGCCCACUUGAUGGACUUUAUUAUGAUUUCGAAAAUUACGAAAUUUACUUUCUAGAAGUUUCAAAUACUCUAGAUCAUGUUUAACGGUGUGGAUCGUCGAUUCGGAAGCCCCAACAUCGAAAACAACUUAUGAGUACGAAGGGCUCUAUACUCAUAAGAGUAUAGUAGCCCUACUCUAUAUAUAUAUAUAUAUAUAUAUAUAUAUAUAUAGAGUCCGGCUACUAUACUAUUAUAAGUACGAUCGCCCUCGUACUCAUAAGUUAUUUUUGAUGAUAGAGCUUCCGAAUCGACGAUCCACACUGUUAAACGUUAUCUAGAGCAUUUGAAACAUUUAGAAAUCAAAUUUCAUAAUUUUUCGACAUCAUUUACCUUACGAUCAAAAGCUCACAAAAUUGACAAUUUUUAACGGCCGGUAUAGAAUACUUGCUAGUUUAACGGUGCAAAAGAAUCCGAAUAGGUUGAAUUUUUGAUAGAAAAUUCUAUUCACUGCCUAGAUAAAGAUCAAUAACUCCGAUCUUAAAUUGAAGGAUCCGAUCAUCCAUUUUUAAGACAUCGUUCGAUUUUGACCGUUCAUUUUAUGCCUGCUUGAUGGACUUUUAUUAUGAUUUCGAAAAUUAUGAAUUUUAUUUUCUAGAAGUUUCAAAUACUCUAGAUCAUAUUUAACGGAGUGGAUCGUCGAUUCGGAAGCUCCAUCAUCGAAAAGAACUUAUGAGUACGAAGGGCCUAAUACUCACAAUAGUAUAGUAGCAUAAUUCAUAUAGAGUUCAGCUACUAUACUAUCGAUAGUACUAAGCCCUUUGUACUAUUGAGUUUUCUACCGUUAGAUCUACCCUUUGAUCAUUUCAACCCGUUAGAUUAUACUAUUAAACCAACCACCCACUCAACCCUAAGGGACCACUAUCACAUCCUUUCAUCCAACGGCCAAAAACUCAAUAGUAUCAAAGACUUGGUACUAUUGAUAGUAUAGUAGCAUAAUUCUCUCUCUCUCUCUCUAUAUAUAUAUAGAGAGAGUUGAGCUAGAAUACUAUCGAUAGCAAACGGGCUCCGCUGCCACCCAUUUGUUUUCGAUAAUAGAGCCUCCAAAUCGACGAUCGGCAUCGUUGAACAUGAUCUAUACCACUUGAAGUGUUUAGAAAUCAAAUUUGAAAUCUUUUCGACAUCAUUUGCCUAAUGAUCAAAAGGUUUCAAAUUUUGUAAUUUUAAUGGUCGAUAUGAGGCGUUUUCUCGUUUAACGGUGUAAAGAUAUCCAAAUCAAUUAAAUUUUUAUUAAAAAAUUCUUUAAACUAUUUAAAACAAGAUCUAUACUAUUGAUCUUGAUUACAAGACUCCUAUCAUUAAUUUUUAAAGAAUAUUCAUUUUUAGCCAUUCAUUUUUGUGUCCACUCGAUGGAUAAGAGAACAAUGUUGAAAUUGUAUGAAAUUUGAUUUCUAAACACUUCAAGUGGUAUAGAUCCUGUUCAACGGUGCCGAUCGUCGAUUUGGAGGCUCCAUCAUCGAAAACAAAUGGGUGGCAACGGAGCCCGUUUGCUAUCGAUAGUAUUCUAGCUCAACUCUCUCUCUCUCUCUCUCUCUCUCUCUCUAUAUAUAUAUAUAUAGCAGGACUGCUAUGCUCUUAGGAGCACGGAGGCCUCUAUGCUCUUGAGCCGUUUUUGAUGAUGGAAUUUAUGAAUUGACGAUCGGCUCUGUUAGACUUGAUCUAGCGUAUUUGAAGUUUCUAGAAAAUAAUUUUUUUGAUUUUUUGAUAUCAUUCAUCUAGCAAUUGAAAAAAUUCAAAAUCAUUAAUUUUUAACGGCUGAAAAUAAAAAUUCUAUAAAAAGUGGUGAUAUAGCAUUAAAAUUUUCGAUCAAAAAUAUUGAUCUUGUUGUAGAUAGUAUAAAAAAUUUUGUAUCAAAAUUUCAUCUGAUUUGAAUACUUCUACACCAUUAAACUUGAAAACGACAGAUAUCAACCAUUAAGAAUUUUGUAUCAAAAUUUCAUCUGAUUUGAAUACUUCUACACCAUUAAACUUGAAAACAGCAGAUAUCAACCAUUAAAAAUUAUUAAUUUUGAAUCCUUUCGAUCACUAGGUAAAUGAUAUUAAAAAAUCGCAAAAAUUAUUUUCUAGAAACUUCAUAUACCCUAGAUCAAGUUUAACGGAGCCGAUCGUCGAUUUGAAAAUUCCAUCAUCGAAAACGGCUCAGGAGCACGGAGGCCUCCGUGCUCCUAAGAGUACAGCAGCCCUGCUCUCUCUCUCUCUCUCUCUCUCUCUCUCUCUCUAUAUAUAUAUAUAUAUAUAUGACAAAACAGAGAAAAUGAAAGCAAAAGCCUUAAGGUGGUAGAGGUUCAACCUGCAAUAAUUAGAGUCACUAUUCUAAAAGAGAGGCACACCAACAAAAUAUUUCUAUGCAUUUCCAUGUCUAAAAUCAACAUUACAUUCUCAACAAAUUGCACAUAGAUACAUAAAUUUGUUUCAUCAUAAAUACUCCUAGCAUACAAAACCACAAAGAUUCUGUGAGGAAAAGUAAAAAAAAACAAACAAACAAAAACCAAAAAGUCCUCAACAUCAUCACCCCUUUCACUAUGUAAAAUGAAACAGCACUUACAAAAUGCUGGUAUGCACCUAAUAAUAACUUCCAUUUGUUUGCUGACACUGCAGAUAAGCAGGAGGUAUCUUUUGCUGUUUAAUACCCCUGGGCUGUAUUAAAACAGAGUCGAUGCAGAGACCUCCUUUAGUAUGUGUGCAAUCGAUCUGAGUCAUUGAGAACUUGACGUUUAUCGGAGCAAAAGAAUCUCUUACAGCAAAAUCUCCCACAUGGUAAUAUACCCACAUGCCGGGUUCCUCUAAAUAACACUUGGACUGGGCUUGCUGGCCAUCGGAAGUUGAUAAAUGAAACCACACAGGCUUUAUAUCCCACCCGUGGAUGUGCUCGGGGCUACAAACUCGUCUACCGAGCCGCUUGUAGGCCCGGCCCAGAUGAAGCCGGAAGAAUAAGCUAUAAGUGCCUUCUGGGAAGCCGAAGUCAAUCUCUCCCCUCACUUCGAGCCACCAUAUUUGAUGGAGAUAAGCAACUGUGUGAAAUCUGCACGAAUUUACAAUUUACGGUUUAAGUUUCACAUCAUUUCACAUUUUUACGGAUAAAGGAAAACAACUUCAAAACUGAAGUUCAGUUUGAAGAUAAAAUAACCACUCACUCUCUUCUUGUUCAGUUAAGGAAUUAACUCAGCUCCCUAAUUAGUCUACAGGGCUUAUUUUUUGCAAUAACGAAUUACGAAAUGGAACUGGAUUUUAGCAAGCCAACAAACCUAUUAGUGCAGGUGGAUGUGAACUGCAGAAAUGUAUCAUUGAAUAUGGGCCUAGUUACACUAUCUGCAUUGAACUUAGGGGCGUUCCACUUUCUACAAUGUAGUUAGGGUUGUUUCACUUUCUACAAUGUACUUCUAUUUUUCCCCCACUCCCACUAAAUUUCAGGUUCUAUAGCAAUUUCUGGACUCCAUUUAUAGAUGGCAGAAAUUUAAACUAUUUCUGCUAACUACAGCUUCAAUCUUCAUGCAAGAACUUGCUAAGACUUGAUUUGGAGGAUCCUCAAUCUUAGGAGAUUUUUUGCUUAGCGAAAAAUGGAUAGAAGUAACAAUGAGGAGAGUGUUAAAAGUUCAAAUCCAAAAUUUCUCUUCUUGUAGACUAUAAUGAGGGUUGCCAUGAAAAUAAACCAAAAAAGUUUGCAAAUGUCCAUAUCCUAUAAACUUGGCUUCUUCUAAAUUAUCCUACAAGACCUAUAAGCUUAAACGGCACUCUAUCAGCAUCAGUAGUAAAUUGUACAGAAUCGUCAACUGAGUUUCUUAGAAAGCAAAAUCAUCAUAAAAAGAAUUGCGUCAGGGAUAUACGAGGAACUGAUACUAAGGACUAAAAAGCAUGGUAGUACACCCUUCAUAAAUAUGGUCCCAGGUAGAGACAACAAAAAAAAAAAAUGAUGCAUGUAUUAUGUUUUGUCCAGUUACCAAUGAUCUCUACUCCAAUAUGAAAGAGUAUCUUGAUCUCUUUAACUUCCAAACCUUCCCCAAGCCAUUUAGCAACCGUAAGAAGACUUUAACAAUUAACAAGAAAAAAGCCAUAUACACGGCUAUAAAUUACAUCCACCAAAUCUUUAUGAUAGUUUCCAAGAUAGCAAGAAGAGAAAUAAAUAAAUUAUUUCCCAAGCUAAUAAAAUGAAAAUGAUCUCUCUUAUGGCCGAUAAGAAAAAAAAUUAAGCUAACCAUGUAGUAUCAGACUUGAAAUGACUGAAUAUAUGUGACUCAUAAUGGCCAAACAUUAUUUGACACUUUGAAAUGUAAUUCCUAACUUUGGAAACUUCAAAGGAGUAAAAGUCCUGGUGUCAAUAUGAGCUGUUAUUUUCUAGACGUCUGCACGAGAAAAAUAAACAGCUGCUGCAGCUUUGUCACAUUUACCAAAUGCUGAAGUAUAGAGUGAAUAAUUUUGCAACUGACCAUUUUCUUUUUUCUCGCCAAUACGUAGACGACAAUUUUAUUUAUUUAUUUUUCCCUUGCACAACAAGGGGUGUGGAAAACAUGUACAAGUAUAUGUCAUAAUUUAUAAACAUCACAAAUGUGUAGUACAGAAAAAUUCCUUUAAUGCAGUACACCUUCACUUAUUUUCAUACACAAGGAUGCAAUCAUCAAAACUAAAGCAACUAGAGGACACAUAAAAAAUUGGUACUUGCAAAUAUAUAAUAGCAGUCUGCUACUAACGAUAGUAUGUUGUCCUGAGCUGUUUCAGAAAAUAACUGAGAUGAUGAUAGGUGGUUCAUGAUUGUCAAUCUCAUCAAGUUGUAACUGAUGAUGCGAAUUGGCAAUAUUAUUAAGCAGCGGUUUUGCAAAUGAUUGUGGUUGCCUAUUAUGUUGGCAACAACAAAGGUGGCCAGUAAAUAUGGUGACCAGGACCAGUGAUGGUGGUGGCAGACUGGCAGCAGUCCUUAGUGUCAGUUGUCAGUGGCAGCAGUGGUGGCCUGACGGUCAACUGACACCAACUGGCAGUGGUGCCAAUGGGCACUAGUAUAGGUUAUGGCGGAUGGCAGAGGUCACAACCACCGCGGGUAGCAAACACAAGUGAUGGUUUCAGUGGUGGCCUGAUGGUCAACUGACACCAACUGGCAGUGACGGGCAAUGGGCACUAGUAUAGGUUAUGGCGGGUGGCAGAGGUCACAACCACUGAGGGUAGCAAACACCAGUGAUGGUUUCAGUGAUGAUAUUAGCAAAAAGGGUGCCAGUUGAUGGUGGCACCUAGAUUGGUUGGCGUUCAUAGGUGAGUGAUGGUCAGUCACAAAAGCUGCUUACUUCGAGUCUGAGUCCAGUGGUUGUGAGAUCCCUGGUGUACGGCUGUGGAGGCUUGCCAACAGCUCUGGAGAGUGUCGAGAUAAGUUUGAGUCGCGUUGGCGUGAAAUGCAUGCAAAACAGACCCCCCGCGACGUGAACGUAGCACUUGGCGAGAAAAUCCGCAAAAUUGCAGGUUUUUUGCUUGCUGUACCGGUACAGCCAUCAAGGUGUACCGGUACACUUCAGCUAGCUACACGCGGGCUGCUCUCGGGUUAGCCUCUGUACUGGUACACCGACCCCUCGUACCGGUACACCAGGGUAGGUAAGGGGUGGUUUGGUCUUUUUCCCACUUCAUUCAUAUCACCCUUUCCCUCUCUCUCUAUUUAGGUUUGUGUAGAGCAGAGAGAGGGAGCUUUUUCUUCUUCUCCUCUCUCUCUCUAGCUGGGUUCUUGCGCACGGUGGAGCUCGGGUGGAGUUUGGAUUUCGUCGCCGACGUCGCGCCGCGGAGUCGUUCGAGCACGUGUUUGACGCCGGGGUAGCGCGAGGAGGCUGGGCGAGCGUAGGUUUUCGCCGUUCUUGCUAUCGCACCGGUGCUUGGUGUUGUCGAGGUGGGUAAUUCAGCAUUUCCUUUGUUUUUGGGCAAGUUCUUACUACUUCAACUCGGAAUGAUGUUGUUGCUGAAAUUCAUCGUCGACUGUUAGUAUUUCAGCUCGUACUCGACGUAGGAGCAUCGGAUUUCGACGAGACUUGGUUCGUUGGAUUCGGGACUUCGAGAAGAAUCCACGAAGCCCUUACUUGCCGGAUUUGGUGAAGGUUAGCUUGGUCGAAUCCCUUUUCUACUCUGUUGCUGCGAAAUUCGGACUGAAUUGGUGGAUUUUGAUCGUAGAGCUUGGAGUUAGCUCGAGUGCUAGACUUGGAGGGUUCCAGUUGAUCCAGCAGGGAUCACUUUGGUGCGAGGCUUCGUUCGCUACCAGGAGCUAGCUUCUUGAGGUGGGUUACAUCAGUUUUGACUCCUAAGUUCUAAUCGUCGACAUGUAUAAUUUUGAUUUUGGUAUACUCUAUUCUAGCUCGAAUUCAUGAAUUAUAUUGUAGAUUGCAAAUUUGAAUUUGGAGCAUGUGGUAAUAAGUUGAGUAGUUUAUACAUGUUGGACUUGGAAUUCGACUUAGGAGAAAACCUACGAUUGGGACCCGUCACUUGUUUAAACUGCCUGAUUUAGCUCUAAGAGUCGUUAUAAAAUUGUACUGUCGCAGUAUCUUUGAGACGAGUACUCCGGGUAGUUUAGAAUACAUUUACGCUCGUGCUGGUACGCCGAGUGGAUUUUUACAGAGUCAUUUCGCUGUUUCGGACUUUUGCGCCGUUGGAGUUGACGGUGGGCCCAGUUCGCCGUUUUGGCGUCAGAUUGUGCCGAGGGCACGUUACUUGUUUGUUGUUAGACCAGUUAGAGUCGGUUACUUAAACUUUGGCUUGACAGAGCCUGAUUAAGCUCAACAGAGAUACGCUGCAUACUCGGUUGGGUAGCGCCCACGAGUGCCACUCCGGAGACGGGCUUUGUGCUUUCGCGUUGGUGUCGCUCAUGCCAGUUGGACUUGCUCUCCACGGACCAGUUAGUGUGGAGGUAGCUGGAUAGUCACAACUGGGCAGGGACGGGUGUAUUCACAGUCCCAAGGACGGGUAGGUUUACAGUCCCGAUUGGAUUGGGUCCGAUUUGACAUUUCCUACAGUUGGUUAGUGUAGAGCAUGAUAGUGUAGUGAUUGAUAGCGGUAGAGUUUACUUCCUGCUUUUCCUACUAUCCUGGCUCCCCUCUGUAGACUUAGUGGGUGGACCGAUAUUGUUUGGGCUGCACCCACUGAGGACUACUUGUUUUUACAGUAGUUCUCACGCCCAGUUGUUACCCCUGUUUUGCAGAGCCACAGGUUCCGGCUGCUGCGCCUUCCGCGGAUCAGGAUCGAGGCAAGGGCGUCGCGAGUUAGAGCCCUACCCGAUGUGCUGAGCUAGAGGUGCCCCUACUGCAGGUAGAUUUUUUUUUUCGAGUUUAUGUACAUAGUAGACUUAACUCGCCAGUGCGAGUAGCUCUGUAUUUUGGAUUUGGACUAUGUAUAUGAAACUCAGUUUGUUUAGCUUAUGAUUCUCUAGCAGCUCUCUACUACUGUUCGUAGUAGUGUUGGAUUUACAGGUACAGCUAUCGCUUCGUUUACAGGAAAAAUUUUCUUUGUAUACGACGGAUUUGUCGGCGUGCUCGGGGAACGAGACAUUCGGGGCGUGACAGAUUAACUUGGUAUCAGAACUUUGCUGUAGGUCGUUGGGACCUAAGAAACCUAAGUUUGGCAAACCUUAGGAAGGCAAGACGUGAGAGGCGUAAUUUAUUGCGAAAGUCAAUGAUUAUUUAUUCUAACUCCUAGAGUGGAGUGAGUGACUGAAGGAGUUCCUGUUUUGGCCUGAGAAAUUAUGUUGGCUGCAGACAACAUAAUUUUGGAGGGAAACAGGGUCCGCCUUCCAGACUUUCGUUGAUUGGGUCAAAAGUGUUUGUGUUUCAACUGACCCCGAUCUGUUCUUUUCAGCUAUGUAUCGUCGCCGAGGCCAACCGUCGUUGCGGGAGCGUGCGCAGUUGGCACAGGAUCCUGCUAGAUCUCCCGAGAUGCCCGAGCAGGCAGAGCCGAGUGCACCACCAAAGGAAAGUGUACCCCCUGUUGUAGAGCAGAGGGCCCGACCGGAGGCGAGUGCAUCCCUGGAUUUGAGUGCACAGUUAGCUGCCCUCACAGAGGUGACGAGGUAGCAGGGGGAGAUGUUGCAAAGGUUGUGUGAGAGGGUGGCUCAGACAUCGAGUACAGUACCGAGAGCACCAGAGCAGGCCAUUCCGCCUCCGACUACUCCAAUGGUCGCACCAGCCGUAGCUGUACCCCCACCAGCAAAGUUUCCGGCCGCGCCAGUUGCGCCAGCUAGGGGACCGGUUUAGUUGACAGAGGCCGAGCAGGAGCGGUGGACAGAGAGGUUGGCCCGUUUCCGCCGUUUUGAUCACCGAUUUUCAAUGGCAGUUGCACUGAGGCCUGGAUUGUCGAGGGAUGGGUCAGUGCGAUGGAGAAGUUAUUUGAGGAUUUGUUUAUUCCAGAGGGGGAGCAGGUGUCUUUGGGAGUCCAUUGCUUGGCAGGUGAUGCCCACGUCUGGUGGAGGAGAGUGAGGAGAGAGCAGGGACUGGUGGCAUUGCAGCUGGGAUGGGAUGAGUUCUGUGGAAUGCUGUUUGGGAUGUUCUUUCCCAAUNAAGUGUACCCCCUGUUGUAGAGCAGAGGGCCCGACCGGAGGCGAGUGCAUCCCUGGAUUUGAGUGCACAGUUAGCUGCCCUCACAGAGGUGACGAGGCAGCAGGGGGAGAUGUUGCAGAGGUUGUGUGAGAGGGUGGCUCAGACAUCGAGUACAGUACCGAAAGCACCAGAGCAGGUCAUUCCGCCUCCGACUACUCCAAUGGCCGCACCAGCCGUAGCUGUACCACCCCCAGCGGAGUUUCCGGCCGCGCCAGUUGCGCCAGCUAGGAGACCGGUUCAGUUGACGGAGAUCGAGCAGGAGCAGUGGAUAGAGAGGUUGGCCCGUUUCCGCCGUUUCGAUCCGCCGAUCUUUGAUGGCAGUUGUACUGAGGCUUGAGUUGUUGAGGGCUGGGUCAGUGCGAUGGAGAAGCUAUUCGAGGAUCUUUUCAUCUCUGAGGGGGAGCAGGUGUUUUUGGGAGUCUAUUGUUUGGCAGGUGACGCCCACGCCUGGUGGAGGAGAGUGCGGAGAGAGUAGGGACUGGUAGCAUUACAGCUGAGUUUGGAUGAGUUCUGUGGAAUGCUGUUUGGGAUGUUCUUUCCCAACAGUGUGAAGCAGAAGCUCGAGGAGGAUUUGAGGAGGCUUCAGCAGGGGGAUCGGCCAGUGCAGGAGUACGUUCGAGAGUUUACUCGACUCCUGAACUGCAUGCCAUUUGUGGCCAGAGAUGAGGCCCGCAGGGUUUACAUGUUCGAGCAGGGGCUGAGACCGGAUAUUUUUAGGUUGACUCGGACGCAGAGGUCGAGGACUCUGGAUGCGUCUAUAGAGCAGGCCUUGUAGGUGGUGCGAGGUGAGGCAUCGCUGCAGGAGAGGACUCAGGCCGUAGGGCAGAGUCAGGACAGGAAGCGCCCCUUUCCAGAUGACGGUGGACAGUCGAGCAGCAGACGUCCGCCGAGGCCUCCACAAUCACGUUCUCAGGGUCGUGGGUUUUCGAGACGUCAGCGUUCCAGGGGAUCCCGUCAGCAGGGUCAGACUUAGAGGGCACUGCUGUGUGUGAUCUGCGGGGGACCACACUGGCCCCGGCAGUGCGAGCAGAGAGAGUGCAGGUGCUACGGAUGUGGUCAGCCGGGACACAUGAGGGCAGCUUGUCCCCCAAUAGCGUCUCCAGCACCAUCAACUUCAGCACCACCAGCACCGCAGCAGUCUUACGGAGCAGCACCGAGCUACCGCCAUGAGGACAGAUCGUCUGUGCCGCGGUCGAGUGAGCGGCGACAGCAGGCUCCGAGUGGCAGGGUUUAUACAGCCCGGGUGAAGGACUCUACAGCAGCCGACCGAGUGGUGGCAGGUAUCACUUUGAUUUCUGGCAUUAGAGUUCGCACUCUUUUUGAUACCGGUGCCUCGCAUUCCUUUGUUAGCCGAGCAUUUGCACAGUUACAUGGUCUAGAGUUAGGAGCGUUGUCUCAAGCACGAGAGGUGCAGAUCCCAGACUAUGUUUUGCAGGUUGUGGAGUGUUGUUGGUCAUGCCCGGUGCAGCUAGACUCGUGGAUUAUGCCCGCAGAUUUGUUGGUGUUAGGGCAGCUGCAGGAUUUCGACGUCGUGCUCGGUAUGGAUUGGCUGGCGCGGUACUAUGCUACGAUCGACUGUGGAGCGAGGAUGGUGACGUUCCGCGAGCCAGGCCAUGAGGAGUUUACUUUUAGACGCUGCAGGAGCACGCUGUUUGCCACCUGGAUAUCUUCGGCGAGGGCUCGACAGAUGCUGAAUAGCGGGUGUAUCGCUUUCCUAGCGACAGUUGUGGAGGUACCUACGGCGGCGCCGGGACUCGAGGAUAUCCCAGUAGUCCGCGAGUUUCCGGAUGUAUUUCCCCCUAAGUUGACGUCGUUGCCGCCGGAGAGGGAGAUUGAGUUUGUGAUUGAUGUAGUUCCUAGAACUGCACCAAUCUCGAAGGUACCUUAUCGGAUGGCGCCGGCAGAGCUGAGAGAGCUAAAGGCACAGCUUCAGGAUUUGAUAGAUAGAGGGUUUGUGAGACCCAGUGUUUCGCCUUGGGGAGCGCCAGUGUUGUUUGUGAAGAAAAAGGAUGGUUCACUUAGGCUGUGUAUGGAUUACCGGGAGCUGAAUAAAGUGACCAUCAAGAAUAAGUAUCCCUUGCCUCGUAUUGAUGAUUUGUUUGAUCAGCUGCAGGGAUCUUAUGUCUUCUCGAAGGUUGAUCUCCAGUCAGGUUACCACCAGCUGAGAGUAAGGGCCGAGAAUGUUCCCAAGACAGCUUUUCGGACUCGGUACGGGCAUUAUGAGUUCACGGUGAUGCCUUUUGGAUUGACGAAUGCCCCUACCGCAUUCAUGGAUUUGAUGAACAGAGUGUUCAAGCCGUUCUUAGAUAGAUUUGUGGUAGUCUUCAUCGACGAUAUCCUGAUUUACUCCCGGAGUGAUGCUGAGCAUGAGCACUUGAGGAUUGUGCUACAACUUCUGCGAGAGAAGAAAUUGUAUGCCAAGUUAAAGAAGUGCAAGUUCUGGCUACGGGAGGUUGCUUUCUUGGGCCACGUGAUUUCAGCUAAGGGCGUAGCAAUGGACCCGAAGAAGAUUGAGGCGAUUCGAGAUUGGCCUAGACCGACGACGGUGACUGAGGUACGGAGUUUCCUGAGACUGGCAGGAUAUUACCGUCGGUUUGUGGAAGGCUUUGCGAAGCUUUCCACACCCCUCACACGCUUGACGCGGAAGGGGAUUCGUUUUGUCUGGAGCGACGACUGUCAGAGGAGUUUUGACGAGUUGAGACUGAGGUUGACGUCGGCUCCUAUCCUUGCCCUUCCGGUGAUGGGGGAUGGAUUUGUGAUCUACAGUGAUGCAUCGCACAGUGGACUUGAUUGCGUGCUGAUGCAGUAUGAUAGGGUGAUUGCUUAUGCUUCACGGCAGUUAAAGAAUUAUGAGAAGAAUUACCCUACGCAUGACUUGGAGCUUGCCGCAGUGGUUUUUGCUUUGAAGCUCUGGCGGCAUUACUUGUACGGCGAGCACUGCGAGGUCUUCACCGAUCAUAAAAGUCUCAAGUAUCUGUUCACACAGAGGGAGCUGAACCUGAGGCAGCGCCGGUGGUUAGAGUUACUGAAGGACUAUGACAUUAGUAUUCAGUAUCAUCCCAGCAGGGCGAAUGUUGUGGCAGAUGCGUUGAGCAGGAAGUCAGUGCAGAGCCUGAGUUUGAGGAUCACUGAGCAGAGACCCCUACUCAAGGAGCUACAGCGGCUGGGACUCGAGAUAGUACCCCCUGAGUCUACGGCGAGGCUGACGUCUCUAGUUUUGCAGCCCACUCUGUUGGAUAGGAUCCGAGAGAAACAGAGUGGAGAUCCGUACUUGUUGAGGAUUAGAGCAGCUAGACAGGGGGCAGGCUGAGAGUUUUGCUUUGGACAGUUCGGGAGUACUACGGUACAGGGACCGACUGUGUGUGCCUGUGGAUUCUGAAAUCCGAGCAGACAUUCUGAGAGAGGCUAAUUGUUCUCCUUAUACGGUUCACCCAGGUGGGACCAAGAUGUAUAAGGACUUAAAGGCACAGUUUUGGUGGAAUGGAAUGAAGAGAGACAUUGGCAGAUAUGUGGCUCAGUGUUUGACUUGCCAACAGGUGAAGGCCGAGCAUCAGAUGCCUGCUGGGAAGCUUCAGAAUCUGCCAUUGCCCGAGUAGAAGUGGGAGUACAUCACGAUGGACUUCGUCGUUGGAUUGCCUAGAGCGCAGGGUGGCUACGACGCGAUUUGGGUGAUAAUGGACAGACUGACCAAGUCUGCUCACUUCCUACCAGUUCAGACUACCUGGUCCAGAGAGAGACUCGCGCAGCUAUACUUGGAUGAGAUUGUUAGGCUGCACGGCGUGCCAGUGUCGAUUGUAUCAGACAGAGACCCGAGGUUUGUAUCCCAGUUUUGGAGGAGCCUUCAGACCACCGCCUUGGACACUCAGCUGCAUUUUAGCACGGCGUUCCACCCACAGACAGAUGGUCAGUCAGAGCGGACCAUACAGACUCUAGAGGACAUACUGAGGGCAUGCGUCCUGGAUUUUGGAGGAGGGUGGUAUCGACAUGUGAGACUAGUUGAGUUUACGUACAACAACAGCUAUCAAGCGAGCAUUCGGAUGGCUCCGUUUUAAGCGUUGUAUGGACGCAGAUGUCGAUCCCCUCUGUUUUGGAGUGAUGUGGGUGAGAGGAUGACACUUGGACCGGAGAUCUUACUUGAGGCUGAGGAAAAGAUGAGAGUCGUUCGACAACACCUUUUGACAGCACAGAGCCGACAGAGGAGCUACGCCGAUAUCAGAAGACGAGACUUGGAGUUUCAGGUUGGAGAUCAUGUUUUCCUCAAAGUCUUGUCGUCCAAAGGAAUACGCCGAUUUGGAGUACGUGGAAAGCUUAGUCCACUGUUUGUUGGCCCUUUCGAGGUAUUGGAGCGUCUCGAACCGGUUGCAUACAGGAUAGCUCUACCCCCGCGACUUACUGGCAUCCACGAUGUUUUCCACGUCUCAGCAUUGAGGAGAUACGUUUUCGAUCCCUCUCAUGUGAUUGACUUCACUCCACUUGAGAUUGGCGAGGAUCUGAGAUACGAGGAGCGACCGUUGCGGAUUCUUGCUCGAGAGACAAAAGAAUUGUGCAAUCGGAUCAUCCCGUAUGUGAAAGUGCAGUGGAGUAAUCAUGAUGAGCGGGAGGCGACUUGGGAGUCUGAGACGGUGAUGAAGGAGGCCAAUCGCUAUUUGUUUGAUGCCUGAGCAGAGGUAUGUUUCAGUUUCGAUGACGAAAUUUUUUGUAGAGGGGGAGGAUGUGAGAUCCCUGGUGUACGGCUGUGGAGGCUUGCCGACAGCUCUGGAGAGUGUCGAGACAAGUUUGAGUCGCGUUGGCGUAAAAUGCAUGCAAAACGAACCCCCCGCGACGCGAACGUAGCACUUGGCGAGAAAAUCCGCAAAAUUGCAGGUUUUCUGCUUGCUGUACCGGUACAGCCAUCAAGGUGUACCGGUACACUUCAGCUAGCUACACGCGGGCUGCUCUCGGGUUAGCCUCUAUACCGGUACACCGACCCCUCGUACCGGUACACCAGGGUAGGUAAGGGGUGGUUUGGUCUUUUUCCCACUUCGUUCAUAUCACCCUUUCUCUCUCUCUAGCUAGGUUCUUGCGCACGGUGGAGCUCGGGUGGAGUUCGGAUUUCGUCGCCGACGUCGCGCCGCGGAGUCGUUCGAGCACGUGUUUGACGCCGGGGUAGCGCGAGGAGGCUGGGCGAGCGUAGGUUUUCGCCGUUCUUGCUGUCGCACCGGUGCUUGGUGUUGUCGAGGUGGGUAAUUCAGCAUUUUCUUUGUUUUUGGGCAAGUUCUUACUACUUCAACUCGGAAUGAUGUUGUUGCUGAAAUUCAUCGCCGACUGUUAGUAUUUCAGCUCGUACUCGACGUAGGAGCAUCGGAUUUCGACGAGGCUUGGUUCGUUGGAUUCGGGACUUCGAGAAGAAUCCACGAAGCCCUUACUUGCCGGAUUUGGUGAAGGUUAGCUUGGUCGAAUCCCUUUUCUACUCUGUUGCUGCGAAAUUCGGACCGAAUAGGUGGAUUUUGAUCGUAGAGCUUGGAGUUAGCUCGAGUGCUAGACUUGGAGGGUUCCAGUUGAUCCAGCAGGGAUCACUUUGGUGCGAGGCUUCGUUCGUUGCCAGGAGCUAGCUUCUUGAGGUGAGUUACAUCGGUUUUGACUCCUAAGUUCUAAUCAUCGACAUGUAUAAUUUCGAUUUUGGUAUAGUCUAUUCUAGCUCGAAUUCAUGGAUUAUAUUGUAGAUUGCAAAUCUGAAUUUGGAGCAUGCGGUAAUAAGUUGAGUAGUUUAUACAUGUUGGACUUGGAAUUCGACUUAGGAGAAAACCUGCGAUUGGGACCUGUCACUUGUUUAAACUGCCUGAUUUAGCUCUAGGAGCCGUUAUAAAAUUGUACUGUCGCAGUAUCUUUGAGACGAGUACUCCGGGUAGUUUAGAAUAUAUUUACGCUCGUGCUGGUACGCCGAGUGGAUUUUUACAGAGUCAUUUGGCUGUUUCGGACUUUUGCGCCGUUGGAGUUGACGGUGGGCCCGGUUCGCCGUUUUGGCGUCAGAUUGUGCCGAGGGCACGUUACUUGUUUGUUGUUAGACCAGUUAGAGUCGGUUACUUAAACUUUGGCUUGACAGAGCCUGAUUGAGCUCGACAGAGAUACGCUGCAUACUCGGUUGGGUAGCGCCCACGAAUGCCACUCCGGAGACGGGCUUUGUACUUUCGCGUUGGUGUCGCUCAUGCCGGUUGGACUUACUCUCCAUGGACCAGUUAGUGUAGAGGUAGCUGGAUAGUCGCAACUGGGCAGGGACGGGUGUAUUCACAGUCCCAGGGACGGGUAGGUUUACAGUCCCGAUUGGAUUGGGUCAGAUUUGACAUUUCCUACAGUUGGUUAGUAUAGAGCAUGAUAGUUUGAUUGAUAGCGGUAGAAUUUACUUCCUGCUUUUCCUACUAUCCUGACUUCUCUCUGUAGACUUAGUGGAUGGAUCGAUGUUGUUUGGGCGGCACCCACUGAGGACUACUUGUUUUUACAGUUGUUCUCACGCCCAGUUGUUACCCCUGUUUUGCAGAGCCACAGGUUCCGGCUGCUGCGCCUUCCGCGGAUCAGGAUCGAUGCAAGGGCGUCGCGAGUUAGAGCCCUACCCGACGUGCUGAGCUAGAGGUGCCCCUACUGCAGGUAGAUGUUUUUUUUUCGAGUUUAUGUACAUAGUAGACUUAACUCGCCAGUGCGAGUAGCUCUGUAUUUUGGAUUUGGACUAUGUAUAUGAAACUCAGUUUGUUUAGCUUCUAUUUCUCUAGCAGCUCUCUACUACUGUUCGUAGUAGUGUUGGAUUUACAGGUACAGCUGUCGCUUCGUAUACAGGGAAAAUUCUUUUGUAUACGGCGGAUUUGUCGGCGUGCCCGGGGAACAAGACAUUCGGGGCGUGACAGUGGUGGUGUGGGUGUUGUUUGAAAAUCGUGGCUUAUUGGUCAAUAAUUGUUGAUGGUUGCACUGACCAGCGUUUAGGAUUGUUCUGGUGGCAAAUAGUGAUGGCCGAACUCAGCAGUCACCACCAUCGACAUUGGCAUAUGGACACAUUUGCUAACAGUAGUGAAUGAUGGUGGUGAGAACCUAGUGAUUUGGUGCACGAAGAUGUUUACUAUCAACUGUAGCCAACUAGAGCAGAGGACAAUAGUGUAAGUGGUGUGAACAACUGUAGCAACAAAAGGUUAUUGAUAAGCAUUUUCGGAUCAUACAGAUCUAUGCAUUUAAUUCAUAGAUGUUGGGUUCCUAGCAAUUUGAUUCCUGGAAUCAUAUUCUUUGGGACAUUCUUUCAAUCUGUAAAUAAAAUACAUCACCAACCAGGCGACCAUAGCAAUAAUAUGCUUCAUAAUCUGACUCCUAGGAAUCCAACUCUCUAGUUAACUCAAAAUCUGCGGAGCGCACACAUCAUAAAGUUUGUGGUGGUAUGUAAGCACAAAUUUGAAGUUCAAAGAAAAACUGCAUAGAAAUUCCAAAAAGAAAGAAGUUGUACAAUAAUAAAGUCUUUGAGUAGCUAAAUUCACAUCAAUGAAUUUAAACAGCAACAAUGGUUUUAACAAUUCUACACAGUAAUUUGAACUCAACUGAGAUAUACUUAAGCACCCAUAAGAAAAUAAGAAAAUGACGAGAUUUCACUAACAACACUAUAAUAGCCGAGAGAAACACCUAAACAUUACCAUAAUCAGCAACAAGGAAUCUUCACUUGUUUCCUCGACAUAGCUAAAUAAAAGCAUACUAUUGACAGAUCAAAUACCCAGAGAUAGGCAAAAGAAGAAGAAGAAGAAGAAGAAGAAGCAACUGCAAUUUACUUGACAAACAAUAUAAUACCUUGAUUCUUCAGUUGGGAUGUAAUUCCAGUAUCUCCGAUCAUCGAUUCCCGUAAUCGACAGCGCCUUCGACGAAAUCGACAGGCAAAUACCUCCCCUCUUCUUUUCCAGCCAAAAUUCCUGCACCACAAGCCCAUCAAAAUUCACACCCACCAAUAAAAUAAGAUUAACAGCUAAAACCACGAGAUCAUACACUAGGUUCCCCUAAUUCCAUCACACCUUGGUGCCCCCGUCGAAGGGGUUGCGGCGGCAAAGCCAAGCGUACGUCUCCUUCUUGGUGAGCACCCACUUUGCAGGGCAAUCGUCGCCGCCGAGGGCCACCGCCAUCAAGUAUCCGUAGUUCCUCGGCAGCUUAGCGGCCCAGAUGGCGUCGGCCGACGCCGCCCCGCGGAAGGUGCGGCUGAGGCGCGCCAUCCGGCAGAUCUCCGGCGGGUCGAGGUGGAGCAGCACCUCCGCCACGCAGCUCUCCGGCAGGUCCGCCAUCACCGUCCGGCGGGCCCCCCCGCCCUCGUCCCCUUCCGUCCCCAGCAUGCUCGACGCCCCCGCCCCCAUCCCCGAAACCCUAACCCUAACCCUAGCCCUAGCCCUAGCCCUAGCCCUAGCCCUAGGCGGUGAUCCGGGUGGAGUUUAGCGGCAGUAGAGGGUGAGGGAUUUGGAGGAGUGGGGAGAGGCGGGAGCGCUUGGAUGGGGGGGGUAGGUUAGGGAAGAAGGGGGAGGGGAGGAGGAGCGCCCAUGGAGGGAGCCGGGGGGGAGCGGAGGGGGUGCCGUUGGAGAAGGAGAAGGAGAAAGGGCGGAAUAAAGUUAUUCCGAUCGAGGGGGGAUAAGUGCAAGAGGAUUGAAGAUAAGGGGGGGAAUAAAUGCGCCCGGAUUUGUUCUAAUUUUAGUGGGAGGAAUAAAGAGGAGGACAGGCGGUGGGGGUUGGGCGCAGUACCAGCCGAAAACUGAGAGGGAGGGACUGACAGAGACAGAUAGGGAGAGACAGACAGAGAGGGGAGGACGAGGGGAUAAGUUUUCGAAUCUUGGAUUAGAACAAGCCAAGGUGGCCUUUUUGGAUAGUAAAUAUAUAUAUAUCCAUACAUACAUGCCCGUGCUACGCACAUUUCGUAGAUAAUAUUUUAAUAAAAUUUAAAAUUUAAAUUUAAAUUUAAAUUACUUAAUUUUAUUUAUUAGAAAUAGAUUUAUGUAGUGAUUAUUUUAUGAAAUUGAGAAUUAUUAUAUUUUUCUAGAAAUUUUGCACAGUAGAAGAUAUGUCAAAAUUAAAAAGAUAAGUCGGAAUCACCUCGAUUGGCUCGAUGCAGAUGAUCUGUAGUUGAUCGGGAGUAUUCUAAUACAACGGCUAAUCCGAACAUAACACUACUGUUAUGUUUGGUUCAGGAAAGAUCAUGAAUAAAGUGGGUUAUUCUCACUAUUCUAUCGAAAUAGGAUCCCUUUGCUAUUUCUAAUUAGGAAUUAUUUGAUUUCUUAAAAAAGUGUUGAUAAAAUUUUUUUGUUAAAAAAAAAUCUUAAUGGUUGAAUGAAAAAUGCCAUUAAAUUCAUCAAAGCAGUCAAAAACAGGUAGAUACAAACACUUUAUUUUAAUGGUUGAAUGAAUGUCUAUAGAGUACUAAAUUGUACAAACUUUUAUAAAAUCGUAGUUGGGUGGUUAGUUAAAUAAAUUAAAAAUUAAUGCUACUUUUAUUUAGCAUUUAGAAAUUUAGGUAGAAUACUUUAAUUUGUACACUUUUUGGUGUCUAAGUCUAGAAUGUCUGUAGAUGCAGAUACAUAAAAUUUGAUCUGAACUCGCGUCCAAAUAGAGCGGAUUUAAUCAAUUACUAAUUGGGUAUGGUUUUGAUUAUAGACACAAUUAACUAAAACUUGAUGGAUUCGAAUUCACUUAUGGCUUUUGUUUGUACUUGAACUCAAAGCACAAACCAAACCUUUAUGUAAAAUAUAAAUUUUUGAUAUUCAUUUUAAUAAAUAACUAAUGUAGAGAUCCACACGAUGCAGUAGAUAGAUAAUAGAAGCAAAAAUUUUAAAAUUUUAAUAAAAUUUAUAUUUACAACUUAUAUUGAUAUAUAAGAAGCUAUACCAUAUUAAGUACAAUCAAUUUGCAUGAUUAAAUUCAACUGUUAAAACAAUAAAAUUAUAGCUAGAAACUUAUCUAAUUUUUUUAAAAUCAUCGAAAUACAAUAAAAGACAUACAAUUUUAUUGUACUAUGUGCCUCUUGAACAUUCCAUUGUAAAAGAUAGAAAAGAGCUAGCUCUAGCUAAAUCAAGCAUCUUUGUCCAAGCAUCAAGAUAGAUUAAGAAUAUGAAAUAUAUAAAUAAUAAAUUAACGUAUCUGCCUUAAGAAAAUUUUGGGUGGGAUCUUAGGCUACAGUCUUUAUAUCAUACUUCUUAAUCUAUAGAAAGAACUUUGCCCACAAUAGUGCCUACUCAGAAAAAUGGUCAUAGGAUGAAAAUAAAACAAAAAAAUCAAUUAAAAUAAAACUAAUACUUUUUUGGAGCACUUUUUCAUCUACGCGAGCUUGCUCAUCCAAACCCUAUGUAUCUUCUUAAUCUUCAGUCGGUAGUUGCUCCCCGUGCCAAGUCACUUUUUGGAUUUCCAUUACGACCUAUGAACAACCACCUCAUCUGCAUCACCAAACUACGAUAUCUAAACCGACAGAGUCUUGCCAUCACAUCAACCGCAGAAAUCCUAGUUCUUGGAUAUUAUUUACACAAGAAAUAAAGUAUGCAAAGAAUAAAAAGGAGAAGUUAUAACUAGGAAAGAAAAGGGAGUUUGGAUAAGAGUUGUCGGUUGGGAGGUGCAGGUGGUUACUCACCGAAACAUUGGGGUUAGGUGAGGGUUGGAGGUAAUUAGGGUGGCGGAGGAGAGAAAACAUACCGGACAAUAAAAAAUAUGUUUUUUAUUAUAGUAGUAGAUUAGAGGGUGGAGUGUGAGUAGAGGGAGAGAGAGAGUAACACAAUUGUUUCUACUACUCCUGCUACUUCUUCUUCUCGUACUCUUCUUGCAACAGAAGAAACUCUUCGUAGCAGGGUAUUUUAGCUCAGCACCGGGUAUAUUUCCGGGCGAUCCGGACAGACGCAACCCCGGGGGCGAACGGCACUUGUCGGUGACGGAGCCGACGGAGGAACCCGCCGAGCACGCGCAGGUGUGACAGCUCCGUUCGCCGUAGGACUCGGAGGAGAAGUUCCCCUGCAACGCGCCUUCGAGCGAAGAGCUCCUAGCGUCCUUGAAGAACCAACAAACUCUUGAUCCUAAAGACGCCAACUACACUACCGUUCUGAGACAGCCAAAUCUAUAGCAUCAAACCACUACGUCUACUCCACCAACAAGUAUCCAGCGUUAUCUAUAGGUUUUUCGCUGAACCGCGCCCGUCGUUGAUGGCUGACUUCUAAUUCUUCUACGUAUCAAAUUAAUGUUUAUAUUAGAGUUUACUUCAUUGGGAAAAUGGACGAUUUACAAUUUUAAUGUAGAGAAUUGGAGAUAACUAGUUGCUAAUUCUAGAAAAAAUAAAAAAUAUUUCAUUUCAUGACUUAGUAAAGAGAUAAUAAUUAAACAAAAUGUUAAAGAUGGGCGACGCUUCACGUCCGAGGAAUUGAUUAUAUGUAAAUAAUUGGAUAUACUUAAGAGUUAUAAAAACGGUGUACCGUUCAAAAGAAAGUUGUAGUGAUUGGGAAAAAAACUUUGGAAACGAGAACUGAAAAGGGGAGGGGAGGAGAGAUAAAUUACUGGAUAUUAUUUACACAAGAAAGAAAAUAUGCAAAGAAUAAAAAGGAGAAGUUAUAACUAGGAAAGAAGAGGGAGUUUGGAGAAGAGUUGUCGGUUGGGAGGUGCAGGUGGUUACUCACCGAAACAUUGAGGUUAGGUGAAGGUUGGAGGUAAUUAGGGUGGCGGAGGAGAGAAAACAUACCGGACAAUAAAAAGUAUGUUUUUUAUUAUAGUAGUAGAUUAGAGGGUGGAGUGUGAGUAGAGGGAGAGAGAGAAUAACACAAUUGUUUCUACUACUCCUGCUACUUCUUCUUCUCGUACUCUUCUUGCAACAGAAGAAACUCUUCGUAGCAGGGUAUUUUAGCUCAGCACCGGGUAUAUUUCCGGACGAUCCGGACAGACGCAGCCCCGGGGGCGAACGGCACUUGUCGGUGACGGAGCCGACGGCGGAACCCGGCGAGCGCGCGUAGGUGUGACAGCUCCGUUCGCCGCAAGACUCGCAGGAGAAGUUCCCCUGCGACGCGCCUUCGAACGAAGAGCUCCUAGCGUCCUUGAAGAACCAACAAACUCUUGAUCCUAAAGACGCCAACUACACUACCGUUCUGAGACAGCCAAAUCUAUAGCAUCAAACCACUACGUCUACUCCACCAACAAGUAUCCAGCGUUAUCUAUAGGUUUUUCGCUGAACCGCGCCCGUCGUUGAUGGCUGACUUCUAAUUCUUCUACGUAUCAAAUUAAUGUUUAUAUUAGAGUUUACUUCAUUGGGAAAAUGGACGAUUUACAAUUUUAAUGUAGAGAAUUGGAGAUAACUAGUUGCUAAUUCUAGAAAAAAUAAAAAAUAUUUCAUUUCAUGACUUAGUAAAGAGAUAAUAAUUAAACAAAAUGUUAAAGAUGGGCGACGCUUCACGUCCGAGGAAUUGAUUAUAUGUAAAUAAUUGGAUAUACUUAAGAGUUAUAAAAACGGUGUACCGUUCAAAAGAAAGUUGUAGUGAUUGGGAAAAAAACUUUGGAAACGAGAACUGAAAAGGGGAGGGGAGGAGAGAUAAAUUACUGGAUAUUAUUUACACAAGAAAGAAAAUAUGCAAAGAAUAAAAAGGAGAAGUUAUAACUAGGAAAGAAGAGGGAGUUUGGAGAAGAGUUGUCGGUUGGGAGGUGCAGGUGGUUACUCACCGAAACAUUGAGGUUAGGUGAAGGUUGGAGGUAAUUAGGGUGGCGGAGGAGAGAAAACAUACCGGACAAUAAAAAGUAUGUUUUUUAUUAUAGUAGUAGAUUAGAGGGUGGAGUGUGAGUAGAGGGAGAGAGAGAAUAACACAAUUGUUUCUACUACUCCUGCUACUUCUUCUUCUCGUACUCUUCUUGCAACAGAAGAAACUCUUCGUAGCAGGGUAUUUUAGCUCAGCACCGGGUAUAUUUCCGGACGAUCCGGACAGACGCAGCCCCGGGGGCGAACGGCACUUGUCGGUGACGGAGCCGACGGCGGAACCCGGCGAGCGCGCGUAGGUGUGACAGCUCCGUUCGCCGCAAGACUCGCAGGAGAAGUUCCCCUGCGACGCGCCUUCGAACGAAGAGCUCCUAGCGUCCUUGAAGAACCAACAAACUCUUGAUCCUAAAGACGCCAACUACACUACCGUUCUGAGACAGCCAAAUCUAUAGCAUCAAACCACUACGUCUACUCCACCAACAAGUAUCCAGCGUUAUCUAUAGGUUUUUCGCUGAACCGCGCCCGUCGUUGAUGGCUGACUUCUAAUUCUUCUACGUAUCAAAUUAAUGUUUAUAUUAGAGUUUACUUCAUUGGGAAAAUGGACGAUUUACAAUUUUAAUGUAGAGAAUUGGAUAUAACUAGUUGCUAAUUCUAGAAAAAAUAAAAAAUAUUUCAUUUCAUGACUUAGUAAAGAGAUAAUAAUUAAUCAAAAUUUCAAAGAUGGACGACGCUUCACGUCCGAGGAAAUGAUUAUAUGUAAAUAAUUGGAUAUACUUAAGAGUUAUAAAAACGGUGUACCGUUCAAAAGAAAGUUGGAGUGAUUGGGAAAAAAACUUUGGAAACGAGAACUGAAAAGGGGAGGGGAGGAGAGAUAAAUUACUGGAUAUUAUUUACACAAGAAAGAAAAUAUGCAAAGAAUAAAAAGGAGAAGUUAUAACUAGGAAAGAAGAGGGAGUUUGGAGAAGAGUUGUCGGUUGGGAGGUGCAGGUGGUUACUCACCGAAACAUUGAGGUUAGGUGAAGGUUGGAGGUAAUUAGGGUGGCGGAGGAGAGAAAACAUACCGGACAAUAAAAAGUAUGUUUUUUAUUAUAGUAGUAGAUUAGAGGGUGGAGUGUGAGUAGAGGGAGAGAGAGAAUAACACAAUUGUUUCUACUACUCCUGCUACUUCUUCUUCUCGUACUCUUCUUGCAACAGAAGAAACUCUUCGUAGCAGGGUAUUUUAGCUCAGCACCGGGUAUAUUUCCGGACGAUCCGGACAGACGCAGCCCCGGGGGCGAACGGCACUUGUCGGUGACGGAGCCGACGGCGGAACCCGGCGAGCGCGCGUAGGUGUGACAGCUCCGUUCGCCGCAAGACUCGCAGGAGAAGUUCCCCUGCGACGCGCCUUCGAACGAAGAGCUCCUAGCGUCCUUGAAGAACCAACAAACUCUUGAUCCUAAAGACGCCAACUACACUACCGUUCUGAGACAGCCAAAUCUAUAGCAUCAAACCACUACGUCUACUCCACCAACAAGUAUCCAGCGUUAUCUAUAGGUUUUUCGCUGAACCGCGCCCGUCGUUGAUGGCUGACUUCUAAUUCUUCUACGUAUCAAAUUAAUGUUUAUAUUAGAGUUUACUUCAUUGGGAAAAUGGACGAUUUACAAUUUUAAUGUAGAGAAUUGGAUAUAACUAGUUGCUAAUUCUAGAAAAAAUAAAAAAUAUUUCAUUUCAUGACUUAGUAAAGAGAUAAUAAUUAAUCAAAAUUUCAAAGAUGGACGACGCUUCACGUCCGAGGAAAUGAUUAUAUGUAAAUAAUUGGAUAUACUUAAGAGUUAUAAAAACGGUGUACCGUUCAAAAGAAAGUUGGAGUGAUUGGGUAAAAAACUUUGGAAACGAGAACUGAAAAGGGGAGGGGAGGAGAGAUAAGUUACUGGAUAUUAUUUACACAAGAAAUAAAGUAUGCAAAGAAUAAAAAGGAGAAGUUAUAACUAGGAAAGAAAAGGGAGUUUGGAUAAGAGUUGUCGGUUGGGAGGUGCAGGUGGUUACUCACCGAAACAUUGGGGUUAGGUGAGGGUUGGAGGUAAUUAGGGUGGCGGAGGAGAGAAAACAUACCGGACAAUAAAAAAUAUGUUUUUUAUUAUAGUAGUAGAUUAGAGGGUGGAGUGUGAGUAGAGGGAGAGAGAGAGUAACACAAUUGUUUCUACUACUCCUGCUACUUCUUCUUCUCGUACUCUUCUUGCAACAGAAGAAACUCUUCGUAGCAGGGUAUUUUAGCUCAGCACCGGGUAUAUUUCCGGGCGAUCCGGACAGACGCAACCCCGGGGGCGAACGGCACUUGUCGGUGACGGAGCCGACGGAGGAACCCGCCGAGCACGCGCAGGUGUGACAGCUCCGUUCGCCGUAGGACUCGGAGGAGAAGUUCCCCUGCAACGCGCCUUCGAGCGAAGAGCUCCUAGCGUCCUUGAAGAACCAACAAACNAAUAAGAUCUUGUAUUGUAAUUUAAAAUAUAAGUUGAAAACAAAAUAAAUUUGAAGUUUAGAACCUAAAAAGUAUACAGAAACCUCCAAUAAAUCAAAGUAGUAUAGUGCAAUUUAAACUUACUAAUAAAUAAAUUUAGACUGUAUAAUUUAAAUUUUAAGCUUAUAAUAAAUCUCUACCAUGGAGUUUUACUAGAGUAAACAAAAUUAAAAAUAUAGAUAAAUUAGAUAAAUUUAUAUUGAACAAAUCUAAGCUAUUUGUAUAUUUUAUCAAUUUGAUCAGUCUAAUUAAUUUGAUUUAUUAAAUUGAUUUUGAUCUUAGCUUUAAAAUUUUUCAGAUUUUAGUUGAUUUUUUAAAUUUUAGCUCCUUACAAAAUUUGUAAGGAAACAAAGAGAGAAUAAAAAUUUUGAUAAUAGGGUAGAGGUAAAAUUAUUAAAUUAUCCAUUAUUUAAAGACAAAAAUACCUUUUUUUGAGAUACCUGGUAACCGGUAUAUCUUCCAAAGUGACUUAGUAUUGCAUGUCACAAUUUAAAAAAAUUUAAAUCUGAGCCGUUGAAGAGGAGUGAAUAUUAAAUUUAGCUCAUGAGACGAAAGAAUUACGCAACCGGGUCAUCCCGUAUGUAAAGUGCAAUGGUGCAAUCACGAGGAGUGUGAGACGACUUGGGAGCCGGAGAUAGUGAUGCAGGAGUCCUACUCUUUCUUAUUUGAGACUCAGCAUUGAGGUAUGCGUUAACUUUCGAGGACGAAACUUUUUGUAGUGGGGGAGGAUGUAGUAUUCCUGAUUUUUGGGUUGCCUGUGGAUCUCAGCAUCUGAGGCUUGUCGACACAUCUGGAGAGUGUCGGGAAACGUCGGAGUCGUUUUGGCGCGAAAUGGACGCAAAAUGGACUCAGCGUGACGCGAGAGCAGUGUAUUGACAUUGGAAUCUGCAAAGUGCAGGUUUUCAGUAUUGAGUACCGGUACCAUGUCGGGAGUACUGGUACCUCAGUGUAAAUCCUGGACAGCAUGCUCUCGGGUUGCGCCAAUUGAUGCUUAGUACCGGUAUAACAUCGGGCUGGUACCGGUACCUGGUGUGCGAGCUUGUGGGCUGAGAGGCCCAGUACUAGUAACCAAAUCGAGUACCGGUACUCCAGCUGGAAUUUUGAGUAAGUAAGGGGUAUUUUGGGCAGAGAUGUGUCGAUACCUUCAACCUUAUCCCCACCGCUUUAUAUUUGUGUAGAGAUGCAGAGAGUGAGCUUUUGGUUGCUACUUCCUCUCUCUCUAGUUGGAGUCGACGCUCGGGGUGGAGUCGUGGCUCGAGCUCGGAAGUUUGUCGCCGUUGCAUCGGAGGGUCAUUCGAGCGCGUAGGCGUCGCGGUUGCGCCGUUGGAGACCUGGCGAGCGCGUGUUUUUCCUCAUUUCGACUUCUCGCCGUAGUUGGACGAGCUUUUCGAGGUGGGUUGCAAUUUACCGAACUCGUUGGAUUUCCUUCUAAGUUUUAUCAACGUCAACAUGUGUUUCUUGGUUCAUUGGUUUAUCCUGCUAGUACUCGAAUUCAUGGAAGUUAUAGAUUAUGCUAUAGAAUCUGAAUUUGGAGUUAAGCUAGUAAUUACACCUGUUGGACUUGGAAUUGACUUAGGAGAAAAUAUGUAGAACCUACACUGUCAUUUCUGAAAAUUAUUAGAUUUAGCUUUAGGAGCUGUUGUUUGUUUGUAUCACCACUGUUUGUAUGCGGUGGAUAUCCAGAUUAGUAUAGGGUGAGUUUACGCUCGUGCUGAGAUGCCGAGCUUAUUUUACAGUAGUGUGUGGACUAUUUUGGACUGUCAGGUGCCGUCGGGGUUGACGGUGGACCCAAAUCUUUGUAUCACCGCUGUUAGUGCGAGGUGGAUACGUAGAUCAGUGUAGGUUGAGUUUAUACUCGCGCUGUGGAGCCGAGUGUGUUGUUACAGUAGAGUUAGACUGCGUUGGACCGUCGGGUGCCUUCGGGGUUGACGGUGGACCUAGAAUUAUGUAGUUGCAUCAGAUUGUGCCAAGGGGAAGUGAGUUUUGAUGGAUAAAUCAUUUUGACCCUUUACAGUGAUUACAGCCUGUGAGAGCAUAAAUGAACAUCGCAGAGACACUUAUAAACUCGGUUGAGUCUUGCCCACGAAUGUCAUUCCGGAAUGAGGUUUCAGUGUGAUGAGUGUCGCAGUUUCUACUGGGAUGGUUCUUGAGCUGGAUAUAGGCAGGGUAGGUCCGUUUGGGCAGCUCGUGCGAGGUUGGGUCAGUGGGAGUUAGUGACGUCUUUCUCUACCCUUAGUGAGGUUGUGUUGUGUGUUGAGUCGCAGCAGUCCUGUCGAACCUUUUUACUUGGAUCGGCUACUCUUGGGAUACGGUGUAGCCUAGACAGGCGGGACGGGUAUAUUCACAGUCCUUGGAGAGUUUUCUCCUCUGGCUAAUCUUGGAGUGGUAUACGGGUUCGCUUCGACAAGUGCGACGAGUGUAUUCACAGUCCCUAGUGAGAUUGGGUCAGUGAGUGCGUUUUCUAUAUCUACAGAUAGUGGUUAGCAAUAGUAUAAUGACAUAUAUCUACAGAUAGUGGUUAGCAAUAGCAUCCUUUACUAUACUUGUGCAUACUUUCUGUAGACUUACACUCCGUUUGGCUCGGGUAUAAAGGGGGGGAUAAGGGGGAUAUCCCCCCCUUUAUACCCAAACAAAAAAAAAAAUGCGGGUGGGAACAAUGUUCCACCAUAACGGGUUGUACACGAUAACGGGUUGUACCAGGUACACCGUUAUGGUGGAACACUUGUUCGCCACCCGGGGUUGGAACAAGCUUGUUCCCCAAGCUUGUUCAACCCACUGAGUUAGAGAGAGAAGGAGAGAGAGAUUUUAAAAUUUAUAAUUUAUAAUUAUAAUUAAUAAAUUACAAUUUUAAUUUUAAAUUGAUAUUUUAAAUUUUAAAUUUUAAUUUGAUAUUUUAAGUUUCAAAUUUUAAAUUUAUUAAAAUUUAUCUGGUUUAAAUUUAAAGUUUCUAUAUUUUAUUGUUUAAAUUUUAAAUUUGAAAUUAUUUUAAAUUUUAAACUUUUGAAUUUUUAUAGUUUAAAUUUUAAAUUUUAAAAUUUUAAAUUCAAUUAUAGGGAUAAUAUUAUUAUUUUCUAUUUAUAACUACCAACUAUUCCUCUUAUUCCCAAAAACCAUCCAAACACAAUUUUUCUAGUUCCAGCUUAUACUCACAAUUUCAUCCAAACAAAAAAAUACCCUUAUUUCUACAAAAACUCAUGCUUGUACCUAUCCCCGGUAUAACUAGUUCCUACUAAUUCCCGAUCCAAACGGAGCCUUAGUGGGUGAGCCGUUGAGGUCGGUAGCGGUUCCCACUGAGAGCUACUUCUUUUUGCAAUAGUUCUCACACCCAGUUGUUUACCCCUUUUUGCAGAGCAUUCAUCUGCGGCUGCUGCUGUUACAGAUUCUAAUCGUGGAAAGGGAGUUGCGAGCUAGAUCCUUUCUAGUCUUACUACAGUGCUAGAGGAGUACAUUCCAUAGGUAGUUUUGGGGUAUUUUUGUACAUAUGGUUGUUGUCUGUGUACUCGCUGGAGCGAGUGGUGUAGUAGACAUUUUGUAUGUACUGGAACCCCUCGAGGUUUUUAUAUAUGUAUGUUUUCAGUUUAGCCGCUCUCUACCUUGUGGUUGUAGCUUGGUUAUGUUUACAAGUACAGCUAUCGCUUCGUAUACAGAAAAAAUUUCUAUAUAUACGGCGGGUCUGUUGGCAUGCCCGAAAAAAUGUGUAAUCCGGGGCGUGACAGAUUAAGUUGGUAUCAGAGUUUAGCGUUAGGUCGUUGGGACCUAGAAAACCUUAAGCUUGGCAAACCUCAGAAAAGCAAGACGUGAGAGGCAUGAUUUAUCGCGAAAGUCAGCGAUUGAAUUGUUUUAACUCCUCCUAGAGUGGAGUGAGUGACUGAAGGAGUGUCUGUUUCGGCCAAGAAAAUUAUGUCGACUGCAGACGACAUAUUUUGAGGAGAAAUAGGGGCGGCCUUCUAAACUUUCGCUUGAUUGGGUCGAGAGUUGAUUGUGUUUUGUGUCUGACCCUUGUUUUGAUUUCAGGUAGCCAUGUAUCGAUGCCGAGGUCGACCGUCGACACGGGAUCGUUCCGCGCUAUCAGAGAUGCUUGGGCAGGCAAGGUCGAGUGCACCCACAGAUUUGAGAGAGCAGUUGACUGCCCUGACUAAGGUGAUCAGGCAGUAGGGUGUGCUUUUGCAGAGGAUGUGCGAGAUUGUUACUUAGCGGUCGGGUGUUAAUCCAAGAGCAUCUGUGCAGCAGGCACUCUGGGAAGAGCAAGGAGCUAUAGCAGUUCAGGAGCCGUCAACGGUGCCAAUGCAGAGAUAGGAUAGAAAGUGCCCGGUUCUGGAUUAUGGAGAUCCUUUCAGUGGUAGACGUUCACCGAGGUCUCCACAAUCGUGCUCUCAGGGUCGUGGAUUCUCAUCACGACAGCGCUCUGGUGGGUCUUGUCCGCAGCGACAGCAGCAUAGGGUUCCACGGUGUAGCAUUUUUGGGGGACCAUACUGGCCUCGAUGGUGCGAGCAGAAGGAGGGCCGGUGUUUUAGAUGUGGACAAUCAGGGCAUCGACGGGUGGCUUGUCCUCGCGUAGCAUCGUCAGCACUUUCGACGGGGUCGGCCCCACUGGUAUCUUACUAGGCUUUUGAAAUACCGCCGAGCUACAGACAUGCAGAUGGAGUUGCUGUGCUGCAGCAAAGUGAGCAGCGAGAGCAGACAUCAAGUGGUAGCAGGUAUCAUUUUGAUUUCUAGUAUCUGGGUUCAUGCAUUAGUUGAUACCUGUGCAUCUCAUUCUUUUGCUAGUUAAGCAUUUGCAUCAUUGCAUGGUUUUGAGAUAGGGCCACUGUUGCAUGCAUGUGAGGUGCAAAUUCCUGAUCAUGGUUUGUAGGUGGCCGAGUGUUGUUGGUUUUGUCUAGUGAGAUUGGGCUUUUUGAUUUUGCCUACAGACCGGUUAGUCUUGGGGCAGUGUAGGACUUUUAUGUAGUGCUUGGGAUAGUUUGGUUGGCUUGGUACUAUGUUACGAUCGAUUGUGGAGCGAGGACAGUGACGUUCCGCGAGCCAGGCCAGAAUGAGUUCCCGUACAGAGGCUGCAGGAGUAAGUUGUUUGCCAUUUGGAUUUCGUCAGUGAGGGCUUGACAGCUGAUGAGUAGAGGAUGCGUCGCUUUUGUUGAGUAUUAUGUGUUGGCAAGUUUCGUGAACUGAGUCAAAGUCUUGAAGGGUUUGGUGCAUAUUGUCGAAGAUUGAAGAAUCCAAGACUUCGAAGAAAUCAGAAAUAUCUCAUGAUAUGAAUCGCGAUGCUCAGGUAAAGUAUAAAUUCAUGUUAUGGUGAUUUAUACUUAGUUAUAUACAUUAGAAUUAUGAAAAUCAAAGUUUAGUGGAUUAGAAAGUGCUUUGGAACUUUGAAACCGGAGAUUGUGAAAUUCUAAAAACUGCAGGUGUUAACCGGUACAACACUGAAAGAGUACCGGUACCGCAGCUAGUUCUGGUACGGCAUCAGCAUGUUAACCGAUUCUCAGUAUAUAGAAUUUUCUGUGUUGUCUUUUGGUACCGGUACCAACUUGAUAUAGUACCGAUACGCAGUGUAAAAAUCUGAAAUCUUUCUAAUCCGACUCUAACUGAUUCUAAGGUCUAUAAAUAAGCUAUUGGGGUUCUCUAACUUAUAGAACAUCACGAGAAUACCUGUUUGAGAAACUCUAGAGGCCAGGAUUUCGUUCUAAACCUAUUUUCUAUAAAGUAGCCUCUUUUAGGUCAAUUCGAGGUAUUGAAAAUUGAUAUCUAUAUGUCGAAUUGAUCUACACUUCGCUUAGAGAUUCUUCUCUGGUUUUCAUCAAUACUCUAAGCGAAGGAUCACCAUAAUCAUGAUGUUCUUCAUAGACGGCGUUGUGGAUUCGGCGUGAUCGAAGGCGGUUCGAGGAUUUGGAUCGUGUGCUCGUGGAUUCGAGUGGCGUUCGUGGAUUCGGGCGUGUGCAUGGCGUUCGUGGAUUCGAACGUGAGGGGGUGGACAACUCAGAGGAUUACGCGAGAUUCAUAGGAGGUUACUGUGGAGUCGGUAAUCACCUUGUAAUCUUUUCUCUUAGUGAAUUAUUUUUUCGCUUGUUGGUCCCGUGGGUUUUUUACUCCAAGUUGGAGUUUUUCCACGUAAAUCUCGGUGUAAUUUUUAUUUUCCGUAUUUAAUUUUUAUCGCAUUGAGAUUUUUGGUUUUUCGCCGUUAUACCUAUUCAUCCCCCUUUAGGUGUUUGAUACAAUCUUUAUAGAUCCUAGGGCUCCUCGUAACUUAUAGCUUUCUUGGCGACUGUAGUAGAAGUGUCUACGGCGGCGCUGGGACCCGAGGAUAUCCUUAUAGUCCGUGAGUUUCCUAAUAUUUUUUCCUUAGAGUUGACGACUAUGCCACCGGAUAGAGAGAUUAAGUUUGUGAUUGACGUAGUUCUUGGAACUGCGCUAAUCUCCAAGGCACCCUACCGAAUGGCACCGGCAGAGCUGAGAGAGCUGAAGGCACAGUUUCAGAAUCUGAUGGAUAAAGAGUAUGUGAGACCCAGUGUAUCGCCUUGGGGAGCGCCGGUAUUGUUUGUAAAGAAGAAUGAUGGUUUACUUAGGUUGUGUGUGGAUUACCGGGAGCUGAAUAAAGUGACCAUUAAGAACAAGUAUCCUUUGCCGCGCAUUGAUAAUCUGCUCGAUCAUCUGCAAGGAUCUUGUGUCUUUUCGAAGAUUGAUCUCCAGUCAGGUUUCCACCAGUUGAGGGUGAAGGCCGAGGAUGUUCCUAAGACUACUAUUCGAACUCGGUACGUGCAUUCUAAGUUCACUGGAAUACCUUUUGGAUUGACGAAUGCCCCUGCCGCAUUUAUGAAUUUGAUGAAUAGAGUGUUUAAGCUGUUCUUGGAUAGAUUUUGGUUGUGUGCUGAUGCAGCAUAGUAGGUUAAUUACUUAUGCUUCUCGAAAAUUAAAGGAUUACGGGAAGAAUUACCCUACGCAUAACUUGGAACUUGACGCGGUGGUUUUUGCUUUGAAGUUUUUGCAGCACUACUUGUAUAGCGAGCACUGUGAGGUUUUCACUGAUCAUAAAAGUCUCAAGUAUUUGUUCACCCAAAAGGAGUUGAAUCUGAGGCAACGCCGGUGGUUGAAGUUAUUGAAGGACUAUGAUGUUAGUAUUCAGUAUCACCCAGGCAAGGCGAACAUGGAGGCAGAUGUGUUGAGCAGAAAGUCAGUGCAGAGCUUGAGCAUGUUGAUUACUAAGCAGAGGCCGUUACUUGAGGAGCUGCAGCGGUUGAGACUCGAGGUAGUGUCCUCUAGGUCUACUGCAAGACUGAUGUUUAUGGUCUUGCAGCCCACUCUGUUAUACAGGAUCAGGGAGAAACAGAGUGGAGACUCUCACUUGUUGAGGAUUCGAGAGCAGUUGGAGAGGGGACAGACAGAGUCUUUUUUUAUGGACAGUUCGGGAGUACUGCGAUACAAGGACCGACUGUGUGUGCCUAUGGAUUCAGAGAUCCGAGAGAAAAUUUUGAGAGAGGCUCAUUACUCACCUUAUACAGUUCACCCUGGUGGAACCAAGAUGUAUAAGGACUAGAAGGCACACUUUUGGUGGAAUGGAAUGAAGAGGAAUAUUGGCAGAUUUGUAGCUUAGUGUCUGACUUAUCAACAGGUAAAGGCAGAGCAUCAGAUACUUGCUGACAAGCUCCAGAGUCUGCCAGUGCCCGAGUGAAAAUGGGAGUAGAUUACGAUGAACUUUGUCGUGGGAUUGCCGAGAACAUAGGGUGUUUUCGAUGCUGUUUCGGUGAUAGUGGACAGACUGACUAAGUCUGCUCACUUCCUACCAGUAUAGACCACCUGGUCCAGGGAGAGACUCGCUCAGCUAUAUUUGGAUGAGAUUGUGAGGAUGCAUAGUGUGCCUACUUCGAUAAUAUCGGAUAGAGACCCGAGGUUGGUUUCGCACUUUUGGAUGAGUCUUCAGACAGCCUUGGGUACACAAUUGCAUUUAAGCACGGCGUUUCACCCACAGACAGAUGGUCAGUCAGAGCGGACCAUUCUGACUCUGGAAGACAUGCAGAGGGCAUGUGUCCUGAACUUUGGAGGAGGGUUGUAUCGACAUUUGAGAUUGGCUGAGUUCGCGUACAACAACCGCUGUCAAACGAGCAUUCGGAUGGCUCCAUUUGAGGUGUUGUAUGGAACUAGGUGUCGAUCCUCUUUGCAUUGGAGUGAUGUGGGUGAGAGGAUCUGAGACCUGAGAUUCUGAUAGAGGCAGAGGAAAAGGUUAAGAUUGUAUGACGACAUAUUUUGGCAGCCCAGAGUUGACAAAGGAACUACGCCGAUACUAGGAGACGAGACUUAAAGUAUCAGGUUGGAGACCAUGUGUUUUUGAAAGUCUCGUCAUCCCGAGGGAUACACAGAUUAGGGGUACGUGGAAAGCUCAGUCCACACUUUGUAGCCCCUUUCGAGGUAUUGGAGCGAGUUGGACCAGUAGCAUAUAGGAUUGCUCCACCCCCACGACUAGCCGGUGUUCAUGAUAUUUUUCACGUCUUAGUAUUGAGGAGAUACGUGUUCAACCCCUCACACGUGAUUGACUUCACUCCACUGGAGCUUGGCGAGGAUUUGAGAUACGAGGAGCGACCGGUGCUGAUUCUGGCUCGUUAGACGAAAGAAUUACGCAAUCGGGUCAUCCCGUAUGUAAAAGUGCAAUGGAGCAAACACGAGGAGUAUGAAGCGAGAGCCGGAGACGGUGAUGCAGAAGUCCUACCCUUUCUGAUUGAGAUAUACGUUAAGUUUCGAGGACGAAACUUUUUAUAGUGGGGGAGGAUGUAGUAUCCCUGAUUUUUGGGUUGCCCGUGGAUCUCAACAUCUGAGGCUUAUCGACAUAUCUGGAGAGUGUCGGAACAAGUCAGAGUCGUUUUGGCACGAAAUGGACGCAAAACGGACUCAGCGUGACGUGAGAGUAGUGUAUUGACAUUGGAAUCUGCAAAGUGCAGGUUUUCAGUAUUGAGUAUCGAUACCGCGCAGGAGAGUACGGUACCCCAGUGUAAAUCCUGGACAGCAUGCUCUCGGGUUCCGCCAAUUGAUGUUGAGUACCGGUACAGCAUCGGGCUGGUAUCGGUACCUGGUGUGCGAGCUUGUGGGCUGAGAGGCCGAGUACCGAUAAACAAAUCGGGUACCGGUACUCCAGCUAGAAUUUUGAGUUGGUAAGGGGUAUUUUGGGUAGAGAUAUGUCGAUACCUUCAAUCUUAUCCCAAUCGCUUUAUAUUUGUGUAGAGAUGCAGAGAGUGAGCUUCUGGUUGCUACUUCCUCUCUCUCUCUAGUUGGAGUCGACACUCGGGGUGGAGUCGCGGCUCGAGCUUGGGAGUUUGUCGCCGUUGCGCCGGAGGGUCAUUCGAGCGUGUAGGCAUCGCGGUUGCGUCGUUGGAGACCGGGCUAGCGCGUGUUUUUCCUCCUUUUGACUUCUCGCCGUAGUUGAACAAGCUUUUCGAGGUGGUUUGAUGUUUACCGAACUCGUCGGAUUUUCUUCUAAGUUUUAUCAACGUCAACAUGUGUUUCUUGGUUCAUUGGUUUAUCCUGCUAGUACUCGAAUUCAUGGAAGUUAUAGGUUAUGCUAUAGAAUCUGAAUUUGGAGAUAAGCUAGUAAUUACGCUUGUUGGACUUGGAAUUGACUUAGGAAAACACUUGUAGAUCCUACAUUGUCAUUUCUGAAAAUUACCAGAUUUAGCUUUAGGAGCUAUUGUUCGUUUGUAUCGCCGUUGUUUGUAUACGAUGGAUACCUAGAUUAGUGUAGGGUGAGUUUACGCUCGUGCUGGGAUGCCAAACUUAUUUUACAGUAGUGUGUAGACUGUUUUGGACUGUCGGUGCCGUCGGGGUUGACGGUGGACCCAGAUUUCUGUAUCAUCGCUGUUAGUGCGAGGUGGAUACUCAGAUGGGUGUAGGUUGAGUUUACACUCACGCUAUGGAGCCGAGUGUGUUGUUACAAUAGAGUUAGACUGUGUUGGAUAGUCGGGUGCCGUCGGGGUUGACGGUGGACCAGAGUUAUGCGGUUGCAUCAGAUUGUGCCAAGGGCAAGUGAGUUUUGGUGGAUAAAUCAUUUUGGCCCUUUACAGUGAUUACAGCCUGUGAGAGCAUAAAUGAACUUCGCAGAGACACUUGUAAACCUGGUUGGGUCGCGCCCACGAAUGCCAUUCCGGAAUGAGGUUUCAGUGCGAUGAGUGUCGCAGUUUCUGUUGGGACGGUUCUUGAGCUGUAUCAGGCAGGGUGGAUCCGUUUGGGCAGCUCGUGCGAGGUUGGGUCAGUGAAAGUUAGUGACAUCUUUCUCUACCUUCAUUGAGGUUGUGUUGUGUGUUGAGUCGCAGCAGUCCUGUCGGACCUUUUUACUUGGACCGGCUACUCUUGGGAUACGGUGUAGCCUAGAUAGGCGAAAUUGGUGUAUUUACAGUCCCUAGAGAAUUUUCUCCACCGGCUAAUUUUGGGGUGGUAUACGAGUUCGCUUCGAUAGGUGGGAUGAGUGUAUUUACUGUCCCUAGUGAGAUUAUGUCAGUGAGUGCAUUUUCUAUAUCUACAGAUAGUGGUUAGCGAUAGUAUAAUGGUAUAUAGCUAUAGUGUUUUACCAGUAUCAUUUACUAUACUUGUGCAUACUUUCUGUAGACUUAGAGGGUGAGCCGUUGAGGUCGGUAGCAGUAUCCACUGAGAGCUACUUCUUUUUGCAAUAGUUCUCACACCCAGUUGUUGACCCUUUUUGCAGAGCCUUCGUCUGCGGCUGCUGUUGUUACAGAUUCUGAUCGUGUAAAGGGAGUUGCGAGCUAGAUCCUUUCAAGUCUUACUGCAGUGUUAGAGGAGUACAUUCCACAGGUAGUUUUGGAGUAUUUUUGUACAUAUGGUUAUUGUCUGGGUACUCGCUGGAGCGAGUGGUGUAGUAGACAUUUUGUAUGUACUGGAACCCCUCGAGGUUUUUAUAUAUGUAUGUUUAUAGUUUAGCAGCUCUCUACCUUAUGGUUGUAGCUUGGUUAUGUUUACAGGUACAGUUAUCGCUUCGUAUACAGAAAAAAUUUAUGUAUAUGGUGGGUCUGUUGACGUGCCCGGGAAAUGUGUAAUUCGGGAUGUGAUAGACAGUGACGACGAUUCCUUUUGUCAUAGCAGGGGGGGAGGUGGGCAUGCAUUUGUGAAAGAAAUGGAGGGAGGUGAAAGUGUACAGGAAAAGAUAAAGAAGAGAGAAUUGGUAAAUUAAUUGAAAAUAGAGAGUUGGGGAUUAUAGAUAGCAGCGGGCCGUUUGGAUGCAUUUGUCACGCCCCGGGGUCCCUUUUAUAAAGCCAUUUGAAAAGAAAGCCGAGUCAAAGCCAAUGAGUCAAUGAAAAAUACCCUUUUUUUAAAAAAAAAAAUCUUGACUGAAGGGAUGACAGAGCCGCCACAAAUACGGAGAAUCCUUUGUCCACACAGAAUCUCCUCUAUAUUUGCACUGCGUCGCACAUAGUACAAAUCACAACUACAUCCAUUCACAAUUUACAAUCACAACGGUAUAUCACAAGAUUCCACAUCUACCAGUUGAAAGUGCUUUCCAUCGAAAAACUCAUUUUGAAAUACUAGGAUCACGAAAAGCUGAAAAACUCUUUUAAAAACUGUUUUACACACGUAAACCUUUUAUCUUUAGAAGCAAGCUACUACGAGGGAUAGAAAGUCAUUUUUCAUAGAUCCACACGAUUUCAAAUCAAAUUGAACCUUAAUA